RNAcentral lists this long non-coding RNA (58909 nucleotides) under Coffea arabica (coffee). Its description in RNAcentral is "long non-coding RNA (CARA_LNC000776)". The stretch from base 55901 to 56002 matches the Rfam family "Small nucleolar RNA snoR100". The record is from RNAcentral. Lineage: Eukaryota; Viridiplantae; Streptophyta; Magnoliopsida; Gentianales; Rubiaceae.
UUUUUUUCUUUUUUUUGUUUUUUGUUUAAUGUCUGUUUCCAUUCAUGCCCCCUUUGAAGUUACGGUGCCUUUAAUAAAAAAUUACUUUUGAAUAUUAAAAAUAUUUUUAAGGUAUUUGAUGAAUAUCAUUCGAUAAAAUUACGAGUAGAACUUUUACUAUUAAAAAUAUUUUUUGCAAAAACUCAAAUUUGAUACUUUUAAAGUGACUUUUGUAAUUUAAAAAAUAAAACAUUAAUUUUAAUCAUUUUAUCAUAUACUAGCCACUAAAUUAAAAAAUAAAUAUAUUUAAAAAUUUUUAAAUUAUAUAUUAUCCAAUACAAUAAAUAUUUAUUGAAUUAUAUUUCUAAAUAAUAUACUUAAAAUUAUUUAAAUACAUAAUAAGUAUUUUUAUUAAAAUUUUUAUUUAAAAAGUAUGUUUUAAUAAGUUACUACAAUCCAAAUGGGCCUUAGUAUUUAUGAGUUUAUCUAAUUUUUGACCUGAAUGAACUAAAAUCAGGCUUUUGCAAUUUUGGUACACGUGCUGUGUUAGUUCUGAAAACAGUACUCAGUCCAGCUUUUCCCAAAACUGCCAAUUUCACCACAUACGACAUUGCUCAUUUACCUUUUUGUGGGUGUUGUAUUUUUUUUAUAGAAAUAAAAUAAUUUUAUCAAUGAGAUUGUUGGUUUUUCUCUGGUACCAUUUGCUUGACAAAGUUUCAAGAAAAUUUCCGACUAGAUUGAAAGUUUUCACAAAUUAAGCUAAACUAUGUGCAAUCUCUCUCUAAAAGUCCAAUUUACUUGACAAUAUGUUGGUCUGAUAAAAUAAGACUAACAAUAAAUGCAUGCGCCGCAAACGUAUUAGUAUUCAACCAUUGGGAGAUCUAGGGGAUGAAUGCAUAGUUUUUGGAGAAUUUGUGAAUGAAAUAUGGAUUACUUAAAUAAAAAUAAUUUAUAAAUGAAUUCUAAAUGAUCAAAGCAUUCUCAUAAUAAUGUGAACUUUUGUUAAAUAAAAAAUGCACUUCAAAACAUAAAAACGUAUAUUUAAGUAAGUGUAGCUACAUAUGUACACAUUUAAUUUGAUAUACAGUGCACUUAUGUAUGCUUAAACAUGUACACGCGAGUACUAAUUCUUCAUAAUGGAUAAUUUUACUUACAACACAAAUUUCUUUUACAAAUUUAUGAUCAGUAACUUAUGUCUCAUUUAUGAUUUUUUCAAAAUUUAUACCAUGGAUUGUAAUUCUUGAAUUUUUCAUUUUCCCUUUUACAAACACAUUUUCAAAUACGAGAAUCAUCUUAUGUUUGAGCUUCGUUUUAUUUUACAAAGGAUUUUUUUUUUUAAGUUUGAAGCAUAGCUCAAAUUUACAAAAAAAAAAAAGAAAAAAAGAAGAAGAGCGAAAAGCUAUGUCAAGUUGAACUGUGUGUUGACUCGUCUGAGUGAGAGUUGAUGAAAAUUUCUACAAAUCACAAAGUAAUCAUCGUAUAAAUGAUAAAUGGUGAAUGGAGUUAUUCAAACUUUUACUUUUUUUUCAAAUUAGUAUAAGUGAUGCAUAAAGUAUCAUGAUAAAACUAGAAAAAUGUAAGAGAGUCAUGAGUAGUAUGAAAUAAUGGAGUGUAAGUGGAAGGUUACAGGUUUGAAACAUCUACUUACACUAAAAAAAAUAUUAAACAAAUAAAAAUUUUUUUUUAAAAAAACUAGGCAAAUGUUAUUUACACAAGAAUGCAAAUAACAUUUUCUCUAAAAAUAAAGAAACAUUUUUGUUAUUAAUAGAUAAUAAAUGCAUAGAAAACUUAACGAUUCUAAAUUUGCAAAUUUGGACUUGAAAAAAAUCUAGAUUGGAGUUUCAAGUAUACCCAAAUUAAUUUAGGGAUAAAUUGAGGUUUAUAAAAUUUAGGGAUAAAAUUUGACAAUUUCACUGAUCUUCCCUAAGGUUUAUAAAAUUACACUUACCUCCCUUGGUAAAAUUGUGAGCCUAAUUACUUACAUAAAAAAUUACUCAUAUACCCUAAGACAUUAUGUCUUAUGGAAACUAAUAUCUAACGAUUGAAUAAUUAGAGCAUCGAUCAACUAUUAAUAAGUGUUGAGAAUUUCUUUAAUAGUGAACAGUGACUUGCAAUUAUAAAAUAAGGCCAAUUGAUUUACUAAAUGGCGCUAUUUUGUGAUUGAUAUAACUUGAAAAUUAUUAGAAACCAAUUGUACAUAGUGUGAUAAGAAGGGUUUUGGGUAAAAAAAAAAAACAUAGGAGAAAAGAAGAUUGUUCAUGAGAAAAAGAAGACUGUUCAUGAGAAAUUUUUUUUUAAAACUCUUAAAACUGUAAUAGUUGUAAAGUAAUUUUGUUGAAGUAAAUGAGAAAAAAGAGAAAAUAUAAUUUAUUUUUUUUUUUCCAAAAUCACAAAAAUCAAAGUAAUGUUAAAAGCGAUGACUGGUCCAUUUUACCGAAUCAUGUGAUUGUUAGUAUAGUUUUAUUGCUUAUUUGUGUUGUCUAAUGUAUUGAAUGUGAAUCUUUUAAUUAGUGAAAUGCAUGCGUUGAUUGUUUAUAAUUUUUAAUAAUUUUUAUUUUUUUACUAAUACAACUUAUAUAUAUGUAUAAGGGGUAAUUAUGGGAUAAAAGUUUAAUUUCUCUCUUUAAAAUACUAUUUUUAACGUUCCUUUUUUUAAUUUGGACUAAUUUUGUUACUAAAAUGUUAACCUUAGAGGAGGUUUGUGUAAUUGUACAAACCUCAAGGGUGUCUAGUGAAAUUUUCAGGGGAGGUUUCUGAAAUUAUCCGUUUUAAUUUAGUAAUCAUUUCCGUAGUUGUGUCUUCAUCCGUUUCGAACAGUGGCUCGAAGGCGAACCAACUAUCCUGGCGAACCGUUUGGUUAUUUCGACCCCAUUUGGGCCGGAGGUUGAAGGAGACGUUCCAAUCCAGUCAGCCCUGCUAACUUGGUGACAUCAACUUCUCUCUCUAUCUUUCAAAUGUUCAAUAUAUUUUAGGGUUUCAAUUUCAUACAUUCUCGAUGGAUGUUGACAUCGACGUCGACAUAGCCCGGUGGAUUCUCGAAUUCCUCGUACGGCAACCCCUAGACGACCGCAUUGUUAGCUCCCUGAUUAGCAUUCUUCCUCCCACAAACGAAAAUUCAGGUCUCAAAAAGUCCCUCCUUUUACGACGAAUCGAAUCCGAAAUAUCUGCCGGUUCGGUCUCCGAGAAGAUCCUUGAUAUCCUCGAGCAAAUUGAGGAAUUAGACUUCCAGGACAAGAUUAAGCAACAUUCUGACCUAAUCAAGGCCGCCUAUUGCUCGGUGGCUGUGGCUUGUACUGCAAAGUUUCUGAAUGAUAAGGACGUUGAUAGUAAAUUUAGGUAUUUCGAUGCGGUCAGGAGGAUUUGGAGAGGGAGAGUGUGUAAAAUGGAGAACGCGGAGAAGGUGGGUUUGAUUUCGGAGGAACUGAAGAGUUGGAAAGAUGAGCUCGAGGCUGCCGUGUGGGAUGAGAGUAUUUGGGAUAGUGUGUUGCAGAAGAGUAAAGGCCUUGAUGCGGUUGGGGCGGUUAGGCUUUAUGUUCGAGAGGAAAAAGAUGAUAUCGGGCCUUCUUUUCUGGAAUUAGUAGCUGAGGCAUUGAGGGCUGAUGAUAAAUUAAAGGGGAUUCUCGGAUUCAAAGGGACCCAUGGCGGGGCAAUUCAAAGUUCGGGUCCUAGAGAUGCUAAUAGAGGUGAGUUUCGUUGCAUCUGGUUCAUAUGUUUAGCUGGGAUUAGCAAAAAGUUCAGAAGAUGAUGAUUUUUAUGAAUGCUGUAGCUUUAUUUGUCAUUGAAUAUGCAUGAUUUAUUUUUUCCCUUCGGUUCGGACUGUAUUGAUUUUAUUAGCAUGUUUAGGUGGUUGUUUCUCAAUUCAUGUAGAAGUGCAGAGAGCAAAUGUUGUUUCCGGGCGGAAGCAUGUUGCUUCUAAACGAAUCCGAGGUGCUCCAUCUGGGAUGUCUAGAGGUGCUAAGAUCAUAGAUGGUGACACUUCUGGAGCUGACAUUUCUGGCAAAACGUUUGAUCUGCCAUCUACUCCUGAAGUGCAUGAAGUGCAGGAAGCUCUUAAGUCAAGUUCGUUGGACCUAAAAGCUGUGGUAAAGGAUCCCCUUCCUGAUGCUUUAAACAUUGCUGAUACCGUGGUUUCUAGCAUUGAAAGAAAAGAUGCAGGUAAGCAGCCUGUGGAAGAAAAUCAUGUUGGAGCAAACCCUUCCAUUGCUGAGAGCUCUGGAGCUGUUCAAGCUAAUGAAGGGACUCUGGGUAAUCAUUGCUCUGAGCAUCAGAAAGAUGCACCAAGACAGAGUUUAAUGGCACGAAGCAGCACUGCUCGUACUUUUGAGGUAAUGUGUUAUUUACAAUUCUGAAUUACUGUUGGAUCUCCUAUAUCUAGCGAAGUAGAUGGCUAUCAAGUUUUUGCCUUCUGAAAAAGGAUACACUCCAAAAUUUCGUUAUCUAGUGGUUUAGAUUUUUUUGGGUUCUGGUCUGAUAUAUUUUAGGUUCCAAGUUGUAUCUUUCUGGCUAUACAUUUUGACUUUGUUUCGAGGUUUGUGCAAUUUUGUCAUAGUUAUGACGUAUGAGCUUGGUUCUUACUCUUCUAAAGUAAUUAGGGGUUUAAUAACUUCAUGAGACAUAAUCUAAAGGGAUGAAAGAUUGGCAUUCUGCAUUCAUUACAUGCCUAUCAAUUUUAUAAUGAUCAUUAUAAAACUUAGUUAUUUGGGAUGCCACUGAACUUGGCAUCUUCUUUAUGUACUGAUAAAACUUAAAAUUCCCUUAUACGAGAAGUACUACUUGCCUGCAUGAUCUGUGAUUAUGCUUCUGGUUAGAAACACCUUACCAUUGUUGCUAUUUGAUUCAUUGAUAUGAUUGCAGUGGCUGGCUAUAUGAUUCACUCGGUAUAGAAUUCUCUGUUGUCCUAGUUCCGUGAAUUUUUAUUACUAUUUUAUUUGAUUUAGUGUGAGACCAAGAUCUAUUUCAUACUUUACGGGAUGGAUGGAGUCUGCUAAUUCUCCUAUUCCUAUACUAAGGGCUGCACUUGUAUGUUCAAUAACAAUGGAGCUCGGGAAUGUUGCCUUUGGAGAAAAAUAUGGGCAUUGCAAUCUUUUCUAAUGGUAGUUGUGGGAAGCAAUGAAAGGCUCUGUUUGAGACGAUUAAAGAUUGGCUUGGGUUCCUUGAACACUGUAAUAGACUGAUAGUUAAUCAAGGAUUGUAAUAGUUGUUUUCUUCUCUCCCAUGUUAGUUCUUGUCCGUCUACUUUUGCCAAUCCAAAUGUUUUCUUCCUUUACUUGUUUUAUCUCAAUCACCUAGUUUGACUGAUAGAAUCAGUGAGAUUAGAUAUGUAUGGGCUUAACAUGUUCUUGUUCACAUCUGUAAUGCAUAGAUUCAUCAUUUAUGAGCUAUGGCGUCGUUUGUUCUUUCUCAAUGGAUUGAACUAGGAGCGUAUAUGAUAACAUGAGCAUAGUUUCUGAUCAGUCAGCUAUUGGAUUUAGUAAGAUACCUGGUUGACUUAAUCACUGCUUUUCACUUAUACUGUUCUCCAAGACUCCAACUAGGAAAUUUGACAGGUUUCUUUUUUUUUUGAGAGUUAUGUAACUUACCUUGAUUAUGCUGCAUAUUCCAAAAACUUGUUUUUUCCUUUCCCUAUUUUUCUGCUAAAUGUUGUUGAUCUUGGAUGUACACAAUAUUGGUUCCAGGUAUGGAACUUUCCUUUGGAUGUGGAAUUUUAUUCUUGUUAAAAAGUCUAAAUUGUUUUUCAGUGGGACGAUUCAGUUGAUGCAUUGGCUGGAGAUUCACCAAAUCCUGGAAAUGGAGUUCAGUUACCUAGCCCAAAGAGAAGGGUAGUUUCUCCUUUGAAGAAAUAUGAAAUCAAUAAUAUGAAGAAAAGGAGAAAAUUUAAGAGAUGGAGUACAUCAGAAGAAGAGACGUUGAGGAUUGGUGUAGAGAAGUAUGUAAAUUAUUGCAUUCAGACAAAGCAUUACAGUUGAUUUCCAUUGUCUUACAUGGCUUACCAUUUUGCUGUGAACAUGAUUUGUUAUUUGGGUACUCAGUGGCGGCGCUUUUCUUCCAAUCUUGUUCAAUCACAUCCUACUUGCGCUAGAGUGAUAUAGGACACAUGGUUAUGUCAGACUUGCUCAAGUUCUAAAACAAUAUAUUUGUACUGACCUUGUUGCAGGUAUGGAAGAGGAAACUGGAAAGUUAUUUUGAAUGCAUAUCGUGAUGUAUUUGACGAGAGAACCGAGGUAAAUGUUCUGCAAAAUUAAUCUUCUUGGCACUUGGCUUUUAAUGUAUAUUAAUUACCACUGAUUAUUGUCUCUAGGUUGAUUUGAAGGACAAGUGGCGAAACCUAACACGCUAAUGCUAGCUUUUGAAGGAACUGAUUUGCUGUUUGUUUUAGCCACAGAUAUGUGCUUUGUAUAGCUUUUGUCUUUUCAUAUCCCUGUUUUCUCCAUCUGCUGUUUUGAGACAUGGCAAACCAGUUCACUGGCUUCUAGCUCAGCGUAGUACUAUUUUGGAGGAGCAAUGGAUUUUUGUAUGCUUUUGUCUCGUAAUCAAGUGGAUAGUCUUGUAGUCAGGAUUAGGAUAGCAUAAUGAUGUAACCAACAAUAUUAAAAUGAACAUCUAAGUAAUGUCUAUAAGGUUUUUCACCUCUAUCUUUUUUCCUUGAUUUUUGUGUGAUUGUUUGUUAUUUAAGCGCCUUUAGCCUUUUCUGCUACUCUUGCCUCAAACCACAUGUUUCUUAUUGCUCGUCUACACAACUGGGCGCUGAUAUCUUCUCUUUAAACGCAUGCUUCUGACCGAUGAGGGAUUAUUAACUUCCUACUUGCCUGCCUGUCCAACUCUCUGUCUAAUAGGAAAUGGUGUCGCCCUUAGUUCUUUAGUUCAAAAUUACGAUGUGGCAUUUUUACUUGCGCCUGAAUUUUUGCUUGGGAUUAAUUUACUCUGUGCUACUCUAACCACGUAUCUUCCUCUGUCCGAUCUCAUUAUUCGCCACUAUAUCGCUGCUACUUUCUAUCUCCAUCGUAUCACAACCCCUUCUUCCCACUUUUCAGCAUUUUCAGUUUCACCCACGACACAAGGCUUCAAACACCCAGCGCCCUCAUCCCCGGAAUCCUCUGUCCAUUAUAUCUGUCUAUUUUUCCUGUCCACUUCCAUUAUAUCUAUCCAUUUUUUCUGUCUAACACAAAACUACGUAGUUCCACUAAAAAAUGGAUAGAUAUAAUGGACAGAGGAUCCCGUCUGUUCAUCCCCUGCUCGUUAGACAGAUAUUGAGAAAUUCCCUUUUUUCACUUUCGAAGUGGAACUACGUAAUUUUACAGAGUUUUUUUGUCAAAAUAACACUCUUUUUAAAAAAUAUUCCCAAUGUGAUUCACUUUCAAAUUGUAUUCCCAAAUCGAUGUUAUUGUUGCCACCUAAUACUCCUGGUUGCCAUGUAGGAUAACAAGAAAGGAAAGCUUUAAUCUAGUUUAUAGUUUCCAAUAAAAACUAAAAAUUUAAACUGUUUUAUUAUAGAGGCACAAGAAAAUUACAUAACUUUGAUAAUUUCGUUAUAAUUAUUUAAAAUAAAUUUUACCAUUAUUGACCUUGCUAUUAUUGCUCUCUGCAAUUUUUUAAAAUGUAUCAAGCUUAUUGCAUAUAUUUUUUCAAAAAUAAAUUUGUAAAAUACAAAAAUUGCAAUGAGCAUUAUAAGCAAUAACAAGAAAAAGUUACAAAAACUUCAAGACUAUCAUAUUUGUUUAUGUUAUGCUUCCUACUCCUUGAAAAGAACUUUUACAAAAAGUAAUCAAACUAUUGCAAUUAAGAUAAUACUAAAGUUUCUCAAAAGUAACACAAGCCAUUAAUUGAUGUUGAAUAAAUGUGCAAAAAUACUUCAAGCAUACGAGAUUAUUUGAUUAUGUGAUAGAGAGGCACUACAAAUGAACAUGCUUAUAUUGAGUAUGAAUUUAUGUUGUUACGUAGUUUUCCUCUUAGACAUUUUAUCAAACACACGGUGUGAGAAAUCAUUUGUUAAAACAAUUAGUAUUCAAAAUUUUUUGAAGGCCAUAGGAAUGUUCCAAAAACUGCACAAUAGAAAAGAUAAGAGAAUAAUCUUCAUUUACUUUGAAAUUAUCAAUUCGAGGAGAAUAUUUUCAUCUACAAAUACAAUAUCAGGAAUGAUAAUGAAGUUUUAGAUGUUGUUAAUAUAAAUAUUGGCUUUUAACAAUUACUUUUGACAAAGAAAAAUAACGAAAGGACACAAAAUAAUAAAGGAAAAAAAAGUGGGAAGAUUCAGAAAGAGAAUCAGGGAAGAUAUUAGUUGGGAAAGAGAGAUAGAAUAUGCCUCUAUCUUUAUCCUACCACAUAUGCAACCUAUAUGGAAAAAAAAAGAAUUAUAAAGGUAAUAAAUUUUAAAAUUAGGUUACUUUGGAUAUAUGUUUCAAAAGAAGAGUUAUUUUGGCAAUAAACUCUAAUUUUACAUUAGACAAGAAAAAUAAACAGAUAUAAUGGACAGAGGAUUCCGUCUGCUUAUCCCCUGCUCACUAGUCAGAUAUUGAGAAAUUUCCUUUUCCACUUUCAAUUUCAUCCAUGACACAAGGCUUCACACACCUACCUCUCUCAUCCCCUUCUUAUUGGAUAGAUGUUGAGAAAUUAGGCCCUGUAAUUUUUCCUUUAUCGUCUUCUCCUACAAAAGCCUACUCAUUUUAAUUACUAUUGUUCUGAUGAAAAAAUUGCUAUCAAAGGAGAGAUGAAGAAAGCCUAUUUUAAGUACUAUUGCAGUGCCCCCACGUGAAUGGGCUGGUGGUUGGCGCCUCUUCCUCGGGACCGUUAGGUCCUGAGGUCGAACCUCCGCAGCAACAUCAGUUCGCCGUGCAUCUAACGUGCUAGGUCUGGUUGGGGCGCUAGACCGGACCGGAGUGGGGAUUAGUCGGGCCGCCUUUACGGACUUGACCCGGACACCCCACUCCGUCGACAAAAAAAAAAAAAAAAAAGUACUAUUGCAGUAAAAAGGUGUUAGGCCUUUAAAAAUGUGGGUGAUCUUCCGUACUCUCUGUUCUGACAAGCCGAUACUGGCUUUUGGCUCAAGAUUGAUUCCUUUCGGAAAUCAAGUGAUUACUGGAGGCCGUGGAUGGGAAAUCGUUAAAAAAAAAAAAUAGUCGUCUUACGCAAAUACAUGAAGAGUGAAUUAAGUUUGCAUGUCAACGGUGAGAGAGUUAUCUGAAACUGUUUAGCAGCCCUUGUUUAAAGUUUAAACAAGACCAGUUACAGAGCCACUCGUUGCGAGGUUUCAACCUCUCAGGUAGCCUAAUCGUCGUCCUAUUAUUCCACUAAGCAUGGAUCUCCUAGCGUUGCUAUGGCCAAAAAAGAAAAAAGAAAAAGAAGCUCCACUACCGUCCUGAACACAGAACGGGCAACGACCUUAAAGCCCACAAAGCUAGCUAUCACUGUGCUCAAAGGAUGAGCAGGGCUUGACCUUUUGCUGAUAAUGUCAGCAUCAUCAAAUCUAACACUAACGGGCGAGCACUUCUUGCAUGGCUCAAAAGGUGAUUGUGUGGAUGAGAGAUUUGUACAGUUGCUGUAGUUCACCAGGGGGGCAUCUCUCUGUAAAUGCUAGAAGAGAGGCUGUGGACUUGCCACGUGCAAAUAGGGAGCUAACGUGCUGGGCUGGCAAUUGUGAAGCAGCGGCUUUUGGUGGGUUGACAUUGAAGUAGGAAACUGCAGAGACUCGGAUUGGCAGACGUGGCAGGAGUCGUCCAAUUCCCCUGUGACGGAUUUCAGCCAUUGGAUUUCCAGCUUGAGUGCUGCAUUUUGAGCUGGAAACAACAAAUACAGAAGUGUCUUUAGGAUCGAUAUCACGCAUUACUGUAGCAAAGAGAAGCCCUCAAACCGAAAAUCACUUGACUAGUCAUCGUCCCAGUGAAGCAUAAACACAAAAACUAGAUAUAAUCCAAAUUGCUGGGCAUGAAAUUGGAGAAAUACUCGCGGAGGUUCUUGAGCACGAAAUUAAACCAUGAUCAUUUUCUGAUGGGAGACAGAAAAAGAAGAAAAGACACCGAGGGCAGUAGUUAAAUAGGCAGAGGUGCAUACCAUCGAUUUGCUCGGUUUGACUCUCCAGGGUCUGCAGCUGACAUCUUAAUUCUGACUUUUCAGCUACAAGCUCCGUUGUCUCCCUCUGAGAGAGUUGAGAUUUUCACAAGUCAAAUGGUUGCACAAAACAAAAGGAGAUGCCACUUAAUUAGUACAUUACAUUUCAGCAUGUGGAGAAAGUGAGCGUCGUUUAGGUUGAUUGCGUGACAUGCUCUGCAAAAACAUAUGAGGUGAAUCGAAACAAAGCACAUACCUGGGUUGUGGUGAGUCGAUUAUUGAGCAAAGCCACCUGCGAAUUAAGCGUCUUCAGCUUUUCCUCGAGAUUUACUAUGUAUUGAGCCUUCCUCUCUUUCGACCGGGCUGCCGAAUGUCGAUUUGCCACAAUCCUGGAGUCAACCACUACGUUUUAUUAAUAACAGCUCAGGUCACUUGCUCUAUUUGUGGGCAUAGAUCAAAACUUAUGAUGGUAUAGUCAAGACAAAAGGCGAGCUUGGUAAUUUUAUCUUUUUAUCAUGUUCACAGGUUGCUGAUUGGAACCUAAUUCACCUCCCAUUACCCUGUAAAAGGAAUAGCAAAUUUCUGACUUACGAUCAAUUGACACGCAACAAAAAGGCUUCAUUCCCUGCUAGAUAAACCCUCCAAAAUACUCCAUGUUCCUAUACCCAGUCAUCAAUCAUAGAAAGUACUGCUAAAUUUCACUAAGAAGACCCUAGGCAGAGGAGAAAAUAAGAGCAAGAGCAUUGAAUCCUUGUCUUCAAUUUGGAUUUUAGAUUGAACUGACUUUGGUGAUCAUUAAUUAGUUAACAUUUUUUUUUUUCAAAAAACACUGACGUUGUAUGGAAAAUGUGUGACGUUGUACGGCUGAACCAUGCAACAACGUUAAAAUAAAAGGAUUUGAACCUCUUGGCCCGCUUAGGAUCGAUUGCCCAAAGCUCCGCCAACUCUUCCGGCGCCAUUGCUUUUCUCGCCUCCACAAACCUUUUCUCAUCCACCAAACAACCCUUCAGCCCACGCCUUUGCCGUUGUUUCCUCGGCUGAGUCGUGAUGAUAGCAGUCUUGCUCUUAUCCUUCCUCUUCCGCCUCCCACGACAACGGCCGCCGCCACAGCUCCCGGCAACAAAACCGCCUCCGUUCUGGAGAACGUCAUUGUCAAGGCCGACGUUGACGUUGUUCUCCUUCUCUUCCAGCUUUUUAACGUCCAUGUAAAUUGAGAAAAGAUCAUCGUCAAAGUCAAUGUCGAAAUCAACAAUGACAUUAUCAUCGUCAUUGUCGAAUGCUUUUACAGUUAACUCCGGCGUCCAUGCACAGUCCAGGGAACCUUUGAAAGGAGAGCUGAUCAUGUCGGCGUCGGGUGUUUCCAAGAACAGAAGAAAUGGCGGAGUAUUAGUUGCGGGGUUUGGCUCGUCUGGAUUAGUUGAAUUCAUCAAAGAUAUUUAAACAAAAAUUGAAAAUUCUGAAAAAAAAAAAGAAUAUUCUGAUGGAGUAGUUUUGGAAGAUUCAACAAUAAAUUAAAUAUGGGGUUUAGUUUUGGAAGAUUCAACAAUAGAUUAAACAACAAAUUAAAUAUGGGAUUUAGUUUUGAACAAUAAAUUAAAUAUGGGGUUUAGUUUUGGAAGAUUCAACAAUAGAUUAAACAACAAAUUAAAUAUGGGAUUUAGUUUUGAACAAUAAAUUAAAUAUGGGGUCUAGUCCCGGUAAAAUUAGUGCUUCCUGGGCCUUUAUAUAGCGAGGAAGAAGAAAAAGAUUAAAUUUGCAUUUCUUGGCCUGAAAUUAAAUGUGACGACUUAAAGAUGGCCACUUGUCGUGGUGCAGUAUGGUUUCUAAAUUCAUGGCUGCUAAAAUAUAGCUCACCACCCUAUAUUCCUGUUCAGGUGGAGGUUUUCCUUCGAUCAAGGGGCAUAUUCUUCUUCAAGCUUUUAUCUUCUUCCCAUCUGGCGUCAAGAAUUUCUCUAUUUUCCUCGUUAUCUGCCACGCCAUGAACUUAUCCACUAACUUUAUUAUCAACUCAAUCAAUCAGGGCAAAUCAUGUACCCGUUUUUCAAUUUAACCAUCCAUGAGAAGUGAGUGGAAUUACAAAGAACACAAGGCAGGCAUUUUUUGCUAUGAUAUAGGAAGCACGCAAAUAAUUUUCAGAACAAGUGGAAAUUGGAUGCUGAACUCAGAUGUCUCCUUGUUUGAAUAAUCCGCUUGUUUUUCGGGCAAGAAGAAGCCCAUCAGGCCCACUUGCCGAAUUUAGAUCCUUGGAACCCUCAUUAAUUUGGGAUCAGUUACGAUCGAAUUCAACUGCAUCAUGCAUGUCUGCGGAGAGCCCUUUUGUUUUGGGUCACAUAAGCAUCGAUUGAAGAUUUGUUCUCAAGGCUCACUCAAUGAGGAUUGAGGAGAGAGACUGCUAGUUAAGUGAAUAUCAAAUUUCUUUAUCGUUCAAGUCCUCUAUUAUGCAAUCCCCGUCCUCUUGAACCAAAAAUAAAAAAAAAAAAAAUCCAUUAUGCUUAUUCAAUAACUUUUUUAUUCAUUUAUUUUCGUUUAGUAGUAAGACGGAUGGGAUUCAAGAAGUGGGAAGGAAGGAGGGGGAUUGGAACCUAAAAUCUCUAAUUAUUCAGACUUCAACCUUAGUUAUUUGAUAACGUUUUUUUUUAUAGCAAAAUUGAAAUAGCUUUUAUCAAGAUUAGAAGAGAGAGAGAGAGAGAGAGAUUGUACUCUGAGGUCAACUAACCCACAACCCAAUUUUUUUUUAUUUAAAAAAAAGAAAAUAAAAAUCAAGUCCAUGGUUAUCUAACAGUCAGCAUUUGGAGAAAGAAAAAGAAUUUUUGAAGGACAAGGGAAUGAUGCAAAGCCGCACUAGCAAGUCAAGAUUUGGACCAUUUGAUGUUGGUGGAUGAAAUGGUGAAUCGCCAACCUCAACUGUUUUUAUUUUAAGUAAUUAUCUUCAAGAUAUGACAAAUUAGUUGGCAGACUAAAAUCACAUCAACUUUAAAUUAAAUAAAGAAAGAAAAACUUCACUAUUACCUGUCUUGCCAGAAAAUAUCUACUUUGUCGUGUUGCUUGCAUUCUUAGCCAAUGACACCAUUGGAGAAACUAAGAUAUUUCCCCGCUUCUCAUGCCGCAAAACCGUGCAUGACUGAUAUUGACAAUUCUAUAGGCUGUCCAAGGAUUAUUAGGAAAACAACACCCACCAAUUCCAUCAAAUUGCGUCAUGAUGUAUGUUAAUACAGGAAGUAAGAUGUAGUUGAUCUGUUGUCACAAUUAAUAAUGUUCUUCAGUGGAUGAUUUCUCAAAUACUUCUGUGCAAAUUUGCAGUGCUACAAGGUAGUAGUUUUAGUAUAAACUCCUCGAGUUGUUGUUGAGUUUAAGGUGAAGAAGCAGUAGUUCCUUUCUCUCCCUACCGGGUAUCUAAUUCCUAGUCCCAAAAUUCAAUUCGACCAUAGCUAUGCUGGACCAAUAUUGAUCGAGUCCCCUGGUCCCGAUUUUCAAUCACAGCAGCAAGAACCCUUUUAAUUGAUUCUCUCCUUUCCUCUGCUUCCUUAUCCAUUUGAUCAACUGGAUGCUUUUCCAAAGCUUCUAUCUUGUUGGAAUCCUUCCAACACUUCCUCGUUUUCGCCUAAGCACGCCGUCUCUUCCUUGGCAAUGCGUCUAAUCAUGCAUCCCGGUCACUUGAACCCCAGCUGGCUACUCGCUACUUUGCUUCCUAUCAGCUCCCCACCACAUCUUCUUCGUCAUCUAAUUUCCCCCUCAUCCGUCGUAUCUACACAUCCCGACUUUUGUAUGUAAAAUACCUUCACCCAGCCAGCUUCACGGUUUUCUUGCAUUUCAAAAAAACAAAAAAAAAUUCACCCUUUCGGAUUCAAUUCAUCUAGUCACUAGCUAUAUCAGGCAUUUUUGCCAGCAUUGAACUAGCAACGACCCAUAUUUAUUAGUUACGCCAAUUAAUGGGAAAUCAACAGAAUCGAUAUCACCUGCCUCGGCACCUCCUCAACGGAUCCGAUGUCGCAACAAUGGCUUUAAUCAACGAGACAAGAAGCAACCCGACUAGUAACGACGCGAAUUUCGACAGCAACAUGGUGAUAAUAUUGGCAGCUUUGCUAUGUGCAUUAAUAUGUGCGCUUGGCCUAAAUUCAAUUGUGCGCUGUGCAUUAAGGUGCAGCCGGAGAUUUGCCUUGGAAACUCCCGAGGGUGUAGCCUCACGUUUGGCCUCAUCGGGUCUAACCAAGGACGCGUUACGUAAAAUCCCGGUGGCUGUUUACAAGUCGGGAAUCAAUAUCGCAGCCACGGAUUGUCCCAUAUGCCUGGGAGAAUUUAGUGAAGGAGAGAAAGUACGGAUUUUGCCCAGAUGCAAUCAUGGUUUCCAUGUCAAGUGCGUGGAUACGUGGCUACUGUCGCAUUCAUCCUGUCCAACUUGUCGGCAGCUGUUGUUUGGACAUCCUACUCCGGCGAAUACUUGAUUAAUGCAAGGUAAUUAAUGACUGCUGAUGAAGUUUUGUGGUUUGUAGAUUUUGCUGUAGAGUAAUUGUUGUUAUCUGGCAAUAGAUGAGGAGGGUAAUCCGUAACUGUUGUUAUACUCGUUACUAUAGCAGGUUAAUUGGUCUUUGUCAUGAGUAGCAGCGGGAGGUAAUCUCGUUGUUUUGAGAAUCCAAGAAUAUGUCAGUUUACUCUUUAGUUUCGAGCGGCUAUGUAUUAAGUUCACAACAUGUAUGUAUGCAUGCGCAGAAAUUUACACCAACAAUACCUUAAAAAAAAAAAGAAUAGAUGAAGAGACUAACUGGAGCAGUUAGUUAUCUGGUGUUGCUAGCUUUUGUUGCUACGUUCUUGCAAUUAUAGACUGCUCAAUUUGUCUAGUCCGCAAAUGCCACACUUCCCUCCGAAAAAAACUCAGAGAAAUACCAUUCCCACGUAAGAGGUGAGGUACCUGCAAUUAUGUAUGCGGUGCAUCACCAAGAUGGCAAAAAUACGAGAAGAAUCUUGGAAGAGUCUCUCAAUCUGAGGGGAGUAGGGGACCAAAUGAAUGAAUGAACAGUGAAGGUCGGAUAUCAAAAGACCAAAUGGCAGCCUGCAGAUAUGAGUUAUUGGGCAGGGAAUUGGCUGGAAAAAAAAAAAAGCACGUCAAACAAACUACUACUGCUACAAAAGACUGGAAAAUAUGGUACUAGUACUAGAAUUGACUGAAAAACAUGAGGGCUUCCUUUAGUUAGUUGUCCGGUUGGCUUCAAGUGGCGGUGAACUAAUUUAACUGCUCUUUCACAGGCUUCACAUAAAUAUUCCAGUUAGGUGAGUCAUAGACUUUUGCCGCCGGGGGGCUGGGGUGGGGAGCUGGGAAGAUAUUUAAGUGUUUUUUUUUUUUGGAUUUUCUUCGAUUCUUCUUCGAUUUCUGGUUUGAAAUGAUUGAUGAUUAAGACGAGAGUUGUUAGGACCACAACUGCUCCAAUUAAACAGGCAGAGAGAGAAAGAGAGGUAAAUGAAAUAAAACAUCUUACCAUGCAAUAUCCAUUAGUACUAUGAAUCGCACCACAUUCUGGUGAUUGGAAAUUUGAAGUCACUUGGAGCAAAUUGAUACGUCAUCCAUGUUUGUUGAACUGCUGGGAGUACUAUAAAGACAUAAGAGGUGCCACUGUUCUUUAAUUUGUUCUACGUACUGGUGAGUACUUUAGUUAUUGCAUGUGUGGGCGUACGUGGGACCAUGAGGGACAGUAGUAAACUCUAUUACCGCCAGAUUAAUAGCCAGAUCAAUGAGGGCUUUUUAACUAAUGUUCAAUUUAACUCUCACUACUGAUACGAGUGGAUCAUAGUUAUUCAUGCAUCAAUUUUUCUAGUGCAUAGCGCUGUCAAUUCAUUUGUUCGUAAUAAACAAGCACUUAACUCUUUAGUACGAUAAAGUUUCACGUUACUCGUAUCAUAUCUAAAUGUUUGUUUAUCUAUGUGUGUCUUUUCCUUUCCCUAGGAAAAGGAUCUAGAAAUGAGAAGUUGUUGCGCUCUUAAAUACAAAAGAAAGUGAUGACGUAUUUGGCAAAAUGAAAAUCAAAGAACAAAACAAUAAUAUAAGUGGUAGUUAAUUGAGUUGGCACAUGGAAAAAGCAAGCAAAAAACAACGGUGGAUGCAGUCUAAAACUUUUUGAGUUUUGCCUUGAUACCAAUUGACAUGGUGGCGCGUCUAGAAAGGCAAUGGGUGGUUAGUAGGUGAAUAAUAAGGCGAAUAAGGGGAGCCCAUCACAAAUGAAGACUGGGCAUUGCCGACGAAAGACGCGGGAUUAUUAUUAUUGUUGCCGGCAUGAUGGUUAUUAUGGCCUCGAUUGGGAGUUCUUGGAGCUGGACUUCUUGGUCUAGACACCAUCCCACUCCGACUAUAUCGAUUCUCUCCGCUUCCCCUAGGCCCUUUCUCCGCCCACUUUAGCUCUUGUUGUUUAACCAGGCUUGGAUAUCCCAUGCAACAUCCCAUUCGUCCUGCUCUCUCAAUGUACCUGUGUCGAUAUAAUUGAUAAACAAAGACGAAAUAUUAUUAUUCUGUUCUUCUCUGAGUAAUGAAAAAUUUUGUAAUCUUGCGCAAGUUUUGACGUUCUCAGGGCAUUUGGAGCUCUUUUUUUUUGUCAUUAAUUAAUCUACCGGCUGAUUAAUUACUGUAUCAGGCGGCAAAGGAUAAAUUAAUAAGUAGGGACAAUUGAGCAUUGCUUUCAUACUGUUUAUUAUAAAGCAAAUCAAACGUUUCCUUCUAGAAAUUAUCAAGGAAAAAAGCAAAACAAUUAUCUGUCGUAUAACUGGGGAGUACAUGCUACAUUAUUUUAUGUAACUUUGUGUUCUGUUGAAGCUUCCAACAAACCUCAUCCAUUAAUCUUAGUAUUAUAUUCAUAUGAAUUAACUGCGACUUAGUCCACAUUCCUAAUCAUCAUGCAUAAAAAUAUCUUAGAUUUUGUAUUUUAUGUUUUGUUUCCACUAUCACGACUGAGUCAAAAGUAUGGAGCUUGAGGCAUGCAGUUAGGGAUAAUUUGAUCAUACACUGCCGCCUCACUUUAGUGCAGCAUUUUCUGAGUCCCAUUGAUUCUGCAGGGGUCAUCUCAAGCAAAUUCUAUGUAUAGUACCGACGUUAUAGCUCGUGAGUAAGAGUUGCUGUUGAGAGAGUGAUACCUACAAAUUCGAUUUGAAUUAUAGUAGUUUAGGUCUGUACUGUCAGGAAAUUACUACCCUUUAACCUAAGGUUUAGGUCUACACUGUGCUACCAUCUUUUCUUUCUUGUUAUUUUCUCAAAAAGACCUGGUUGGUCAGUAUUCGAUGUCAGUUAUAGUCGACCCAUCGAUCCAUAUAAGUAGAAAAUUUUGAAGUGUGUACCGGUGACCGAAUCUUCGUCCCAAGCACUCGAUGCACUUUCGGCCUUCUGUCAUUUCUCCCAUGCCAAUAACCACGCACUGCCGGCAAUAGACUCUCCCGCAUACCUGAGUGGAGAAUUUUACAAUAACUCAUGCAUGUCCACGAAAAUAUUGGGAGUAGAAACAGAAGCAUCUAAAAAGACCAAAGAUUGAAAUAACGCGACGUAAUGCAUGUGCAGGCUGAUUAGCUUUAAUUCCUCCAUUAAAACAAAGAUAUCAGGAAACUUGAACCUUAUGAAUAUGCCAUGUGAUCAAAAAAUCAUGUUCAUUCAUCUAUUAUUUCUCUCACUUCAAACCUAAGCUUUUAUCUUUGUCACUUUGACUCAAUUUCGAUGGACCAAAGCAAAUAUUCACCAAGUUUGGAUAAAGAAAUUACAUCAAGGAAUUAAUAACAUUCCUAGGCGACAAAGUUAAUAAACAUAACCUAAAGGCGACCGAUCUAUCUGGCCAAGUAUUUACAUGCUUAUUCAAAUUUAGAGCAGCCGAUAAUGUACAAUACAUGUAUUCUAUGUUUUGACGAACGUUGUCAGAAUGUGUAAAUCUGUGCAUGACAAAUUGAUGAUAUUUAUGUUCAAAACAAAUUGAUAAUUGUGCCUAAUGCUCUGAAAUAAUAGUAUAACAGUGAUAGAGCAAAAAAGCAAUAUGUCAGAGGGACAAAAAAAAAAAAAAAAAAGGAGGCUAGAGUAAAAGAUGGUUGAUUUACCAGGCAACGAUGACGGAAAACAUAGAUGUAGGUAGUGCAAACGGUGCAGAUAUUGGAGUGAGGGAUUCCAGGUCUCCGCCUUCCUCCUAUCUCCGGGUAUCCACUCAUUGAAGCCAUGCUGAUGCCACUCAUCUGGCUCAUGUCACCAUACCCCAUGUUGUUGUGCAUCCCGUGUGUACUAUGACUAUAAGGGCGGGCAUGAUGAUAAUGAUGAGGAGGAGGUGUAGUCUGUCCAUGAACAUAAUGGUGGCUUCGAUGACCAUUUGCACCCUGAUGAUCACCAACCCCAGAUUGGUGCAAAUGAUUAGUAGUCAUUGGUGAAUUGUAUGUGUCUCGACUCUUCGAAAGAUGAUGGAUAUGGGGAAGGUGGUGGGAUUGAUAAUGAAUUUGAUGAUCGCAGCUGGCGGAAGCCUCUAGGCCUCGGCUAAAAUCCAAACUCGGUAUUUUUUUGAGAGGGGCUACUUCUUCUUUUCUUGGGCUGGCUUCAAUGAUGGAAUCCAAAGUGGGUGGUGCGUUAUUCUUGUCUAUUGAAGGGAGACCAUUUUGUUGCCUCACUUCAGCUAGGUCUUGAAAGGUGAGGUUAACUGAAUCAUCAGGGAUCCCUGAAUAUAACUCCUCCAGCUCUCUUUUUGCUUUUGCGAGCUUUGUCAAGUCUCCCAUUGUUUUCUUUUUGGAGAGGAAAAGAGUGUAGGGUUAGGAGGUAUGCGUUUUAGGUGUAGGGAUUUUUCCAAUGCAGGGGAAACGGUACUUAUAUGUAUAAUGCAAGUGCAGGCGGCAGGAAAAAGCCAGGAUACCUGGCCGGUCGAGAAUUGCACUACCGGACAAGGGAUGACGAAGAGAUUUUUGAGAGUACAGGAAAGAUAUAUAUAUAUGCAUUUUUUUUCCCUUCUAUCAGUCAUGUGCUGUUCUUUUAAGUUGGACUAAUUGCCUCAUCAUUCAUGCAAAUGCAACCUAUCCCCUCCUACAGAUACAUCAUUCAUGAAUUUUAGGUUUUGGCUUAACUGAUGUGAGAUUAAUUAGAUUGUUUAACAAUGAUAAAGCAUCAUAAAAGAAACGUUGAAUUCCAGAGUAAAUUAAGGGGAUUUUUGAGACUAGCUAGUAUGUGCAUUGUUAUCAUUUUACACUAGCUAGUACUGUAUAAGGAUAGCUUAACCUUACCAUCGAUUGUUGCUAUAAGCAACCAUAAAAAUGUUUCGCAACCCUCUUUCCUCCAUCCCAAUGCAUCCUUCUGUCGGUAGACGAUAGACGGUUGGGAAUCAGCUGGGAGCGACUUGACUGGCUAAGUAGUAAAUCUGCUUAAGUUUCAUAGCUAUCUAGUACUUAAUUACUACAUAAUAAUACUAAUGGAUAGUAAUUUAGCGAGUUAAUGGUUCGGGAUAACAUUUGGCCGUCCCUUAGGAUCCUUACAGGAUGAUGAUGAUGAUGAAUAUUUUCAAUCUAGGCCGACUCUGACAGUUUUUUUUUUUUUUUUUUUUUCGAUUAUUUUAAGGUAUUAACAGAGAAAACUAGAAAAGCUGUGUGUUAGCCGAGCGUGCGCAGAGUUGAACUUCUCAACUCAACAAUGAUAGAAAUAAUGAAAUCAUGUUAAGAUUGGUAUGACUGUCAAAAAAAAAAGAACAUGAGAAAGCAAAUAAAGUAGUAUAAAUAUCACAACUAUAUAUUCAUAGUUUCCGCCGGACAAUAAUAAUUACUUUGAUGAUGUGACACUGAAGGAAAACACUAAUAUAAUUAAUAAAUGAGGCCUGGUCGGAAAAGACAAAGGGCUGGCCGGACUAUGACUGUGAGAGGGCGACAAAUUCUUGCUGUCUUUGAUUGGGAGAUGAGAAGGUAUGGGUGGUUUAUGGAAAUGGCAUAAACAACGCGUUCAUCAUCGUCCUUGUCAACCUAAGGUAUAGUGAUCAACGAUGUAGUUUUAAGCAUAUGAGCUCAUGCUUGCAAUCCUCGGACGUCAAUUCAACAUUUCACUUCUCCUGAGUCUAUUGGUCGGAUACUGCCACAUUCUUUCCAUUCAGCCUUUUGGCGAAUCCUCUACCAAGAUUAACUUGUGCAAUGUAUCUUAUUAGUACAAAAUGAAUGAAUAUCUUUGCGCGUCUGCCUUCUUUUUUUUUGAGCCAGUUUAAGAACCUUCCUUCCCCAGAGUCACAAUUAACAAGAGUUUUGGACCUCAGAUUCUGUUUUAUUGUCAAUUGGCGUCUGACUUCGGGUAGCAUUCCUUUUGUUUCUUCCCCAGGGAAACGAAACUUCUACCCAGCUAAUCCUCAUUCGUUGUUUGUCAGCAGAUUAGCAAUCGCAAGCAAAUCGUUCGACUCACGUGAACAUUUUUUUAUUAAAAACAAAAAAACAAAGAAAUUAAAAGGUCAAAUAUAUUUGCAUUUCCCUUUCCGCCGCCUUGGAGGCCCUUUUCUCCUUCAAGUAUAAAGGCCUCCAACUUCUUAAGGCCGGGUAAAAUUAAAAAAUAAAAAAUAAAAAAAAUCGGCUACCAGGGUAAAUUCAUCUUUGUUUAUGGUGGACAAAAGAUCUUUUGUUUAUUGUGGACGAAAUCUUGACGUUGGAAGUUGAAUAAAGAAGAGCUCGACGAAACGGGCCUUAACAAUUCCAACCAGACGGACUGCGUCCAUCGAGACAAAUAGAAUUUUACGGGCUUUUCUCUUUUCAAUUCAGCCCGCAACACAUUAAAAGGUUCAUGUCCAGGUGUCGGCGCAGGGUUAACUCUGAAUCCUGAGAAAGCCUUUGCUUGUGGCCCAAUAAAAUGCUGACCAAAGUCGCUUUAAAUUUAUAGGUUCAAAUUUUAAUUAUCAAAAUGUCCAGAAAUGUCUUGAUUGCUCUUCAAAAUUUUCCUUUUUCUCAUUUAUCAACUAGCGCGUACCACUUUUGACAAAAAAAAAAAAAAAAAAAAAACUAGCGCGUGCCACCAUAGCAUAGCCAGAGCAUGCAUGCCAAUUACAAUCGACCAACUUGCACAUAUGCCGCCCGAACCAAAACAAAACAAAAAAAAGAAACCCGCACGCACAUUGCUGGGGUUAGGCAAAAUCAAGUGACAGAUGCGAUAGAGAGGGAAGAAACGGGAAGGUCCAAAAAACUCACUACUGUAUUCUUUGACGGUAAUGCUGUGUAUAUAAAACCUAACGAAAGGGUUAUGAGAUGUGCUACUGGCUACUGCUAUAUCAUUACAACCAAAAUCCAAAACUUAUAAAUAUCAAGAUAUAUAGCUCAGAUCUUUCAAAAAAAAAAAGAAGAAGAAGAAGAAGAUAUAUAGCUCAGCAAUUACUCAUCUUUUACCCUUUUUCUAUCAGAAACUACUCCUCUUUGCCCUUUUUCUCGGGCCCCAUAUUGGCUGAUGCGCUGCACCCUUCUUCAGGUAAGGACCCUUCACCGUCACCGGGAGCAUGCGAUGGUAGCAAGUGAUGGCUCACGCUUGCAACCCCAUCCUGCCUCAUAUACACGUCCAAGGGAAUGCUCGCUGCGUCUAUGAGGGUGGCCAAGUUGAUUCCAGCUGCUGCCUCGGCUAGCAUGUCUUCUUCCCUACUGGGGUGGCAGUUUAGGUCUAAUUGUCCCUUAUUGCUCUCUCCUGCCUCCAUCAAGCUCCCAUUCUGGCUUCUUUCAGCAUCUGAAUGAUUUGUCAGCAGCAAUGCGUGCUCAGCUGCCCCUUCCAUUUCUGACAUAUCUAGAGGAGGAGUUUCUUCAUCCUUUCCCUGGAGAAGUUCAGCUUCUCGGUCUGACUGGCGCUUUUUCUUUCGCAUCAUGAGUGUUUUGAAGCGCCUUUUCACAGUCAGGCAAACAUUACACUUGCACGAAGUUGGGUGUUUGCCCUUUCCACUUGGGGGCUGAAUGCAGACAAUGCAACUGCAUCCAGGACGAUGGCGAGGAUGUUUGGUAGUGGCUCCAACUGACAUCUCAGUCAAAUCCCCCAUGUUGUCCCCUAAAACAGCAGCAGUAGCCAAUGCAUCUAAGCCAGAAGGCUCAUAGUCUUCAGCUACCUUGGUUUCUACUAUUCUUCUCCUCUUAAAAUCUGUCAGCAAAUGAAAGACAGAAAAAUUCCCAGAAGUUAACUCUCAUUUAUGGGGAUAGACAUUUAGCAUUUGAUAUCAUUAUUCAGAAACAAAUUCUAUCAUCCAAAGAAAAACGCAGAAUAAGAGCAAAGCGACUACAACAGAAGGGAAAUUUUCAAUUCUUUCAUUCACACUGUUAAUGGACAUGGAAAUUUCUGUAAAUCCUGGUCAAAUGAUAAUAUGUUCUUUUUCUAUGGACGAAUAUCAGAAUAUAGAGGAAGGUUGAUGAAGUAUUUAAGUGCCACCUUGUUUCUACUCCAGAACAUUCCCCGAUUUCUAUGAGCACAAGUACCCGAUGUGAAGCAGCAGAUGGAGCAGAAAAUCAGGGUGAAAAAUGUGCACGGAUCUACUGUUUAGUAUGACUCAAAAUGUAAGAAGAGUAUAUAUAAACCCACCACUCAUGUGUCAAACUCUUGAGAUCAUUCAAAGCACCAUCUAAGAUGGAAUUCCUAUCUAGAUAUUCAAUCCGUUUUAUCAAACCAAGACACGUACUAUGCAGAAGAAAAUUGAAAUUCCUACUCUAAUUGAACCAGAUAUAUCCAAAAAAGUAUGCAACUUAUACACAUUUUGGACUGCUGGCAUACAUUAAUAUAAGGAAUACUACUAGGAACCAAAUAAAUGUAGUAGAUUACCAUCUCUGCGGCGGUAUGUUAGUGGUGGUGGUGGUGGUUGUAGAGAGAGAAUUAUUGAGAGCAAAAGAUGACGAGGAGAAGGAGAGGUAGGAGUUUGAGGGGAAAAAUAAAAUAGUUGCACAAGAACUUAAGAGGCAGAAGGUAACAGAGAAAGAAGUUUAUAGAAUGCAUACAUUCAUAUUGUGUUUCUAGUAAUAAGUUCAAUUGUUUUAUACUACAGCCAUGAGAGGAUAUUGAAUAUUGUAAGUAAAAACUCAAUUUGGUAUACCAAAAGAGUAUCUCACUAGCAUACAAAUCUCAUAAAAGUUUUCAUAAACCUAGAAGUAUAUUACAUUAUGAUUGAUUUUCACAACUCAUUAAAAAAAAAAAAGGCAAAAUUUGUAAUGGAUUCAUACCCUUGCUGGCUAUAUUGAGAGCUUCCAGUUCCCUUGGAUUGAUAUCAUCAGGAGCAGAACAUGAGCUUCAGGGAGAAAUUCAAAGACAUGAAGGUUAGAACUUUUAUCAUUCCCUUCAAAUAGAAACAAAGGAACUUAAUGCCUAAACUCCCCCGAAUAGUAGCAUUAUUGGGGCUGUGGAAGUGGGUAUGUGUGAGGUGAUUGGGUAGUAAAUCUCUACUUACCGACUAAAAAGUAAAUAGAUGAACCUUAGCAGCAACAGUUGCAGAUAUUUUGCUUUGUGUGGAAGAAUGAACACUUUAGCAAAAUAUUUAUCGCGGAGAAGUGUUUUUAUCAAAAAACAAAGCACAAACUAACCUGUUUGAGACCCAAGCAUUGUCUGGACAUGUCCAUCUUGCAGGAACAAGAACAUGCAUGGGCAGCCUGCGCCAUUUCGAGCAAUUGUCACAUUGAGCCCACUGUUCCUGCUGCCUGAAUAAUCAUUUUCCGCAUUUCAGGAAUAGAUGCAUUGCAAUAUAAAUAAAAUAAUAACGCCAUACAGAAAAUCAGAACGAUAUUGGAUUCUGUGAUGCUUAGUGAAAACAGUCUCAGUGCUGUGAUCAGAGGAAAAACUGAAAAAAACUCGUUGAAUUAUCAGCUUCAGUAGAGGCUUUAACUUUUAGAAAUCAAAGUAACUAAUUUAAUGUGGUCAACAUGCUUUUUGACAUCUUGAAAAGACAUUUUUGCUGUCCAAAUUCCUUGUUUAUUGGCCAAGAACUUAAAAGUAUACAAGAAUGAUGGAGCCGAUAUGUGCUUAACAAAUUGCCUUACCCUAGCAAAGAUUAAAAAUACCACCUUUUCAGAAGGUUGCAUGGAAGAGAGAAGAGUAAUAAUUAGGAACUCAAUCCAAUAAAUUGUAAGCGAUUCCAAAUAUAUAGCUAGGUAGAGAAGGCAUCCAACAAGUCUUGAAUACAUCUAGAUCAUAAUUUCUAUCAGACUUCUAGAAUCAGAGAAGCUUUCUUGGCUAAGAGUUUCUAUCAAGAGAAAUACAUCUAAAAUUUGUAAAACCAUUAAGCAGUGCAUGUCAUAACCCAAAAAGCAACACUAUAGUGCAAAAUAUAGCUGUAUACCAAAACAUUUUGUACAGAUAAAAAGAUAUCCUUACCCAGAUGGUUGAACAGUAAAUAUAGUCCUCUUCCCAAAUAUCGGUGGUUCCUGCUAAAGUGAAAACAUUGGAAGUAUGUUGAUGAAAUGCAGGAGGAUUGAAGUUUAAAUGCCUUGAUACGUCCAAGGCAGUUAAGAAAGAGAAGCACAAUGAAUAAUAUUACAGAAUAGAGAAUUUUAAAAGUGAACUUAAAUCAUCUGGCCUAAAUAAAUAAGUACAUGAAUGAAGAAUACUCACAUCAUAUUCCUCAAAUUCACAGUCCUCAAUCUUGAUAAUUGUUGGGCUGUUUGUAGGUGGGCGUAGAAGCUCUUGCGCUUCUUCCCACGUAACUCUAAGUUCCAUGGCAUCAUCACUGUGCAUGAGAAGCCUCUUGUUCUUUAACCCAAUAUUUCGUGCCUUCUUUUUUUCUGGGAUCAAGAUAUUCCGUUGUGAGGAAUCUUCAUGUAUCUGACCUCCAUUGUUGCCAUUUUCAGAAAUCUAAAAUAGCCAUGUUAAUAAAAUAACUGAUAUGGUCAGAAAUCACAAGAAAGUGAGCAAGCAGCAUUCUGAACUAAUGCAAACAAGAAAAGGGUAAGGACUUACAGCAAGCAUGUUAUCACUAGCACCUAAAUACGAAGUUUCACCAGGAGAACCACCAUUAGGAAGGCCAGAUGGCUGUGGAUCCUGUGUCUACAGAAGUACAUGUUACUUGUAAAACUGAAAGCAAAAUUUAAAAGAGGUUUCAAACAGAGAAGAGCCUAUAAAACUUGACCUGCGUCUCAACAUUGGUUGUUGACUUCCGGAAACCCAUGACAAGUUGUCCACCAGGGUCUAUACGGCUAAAUGUCACUAUGAGUAAAACCAAAAGGGAAUAGUCAUGACCUUACAUGAACUAACAAAGUUAGUACAUAGUUGGCAGUUGACAUAAUAAUUAAUUGAGCAUUUAUUUCAUUCCUUGUCAUCAAAUGCAUAUUGGCUGACAAUGACAUGAAUACACACCCUUUGACUGGGAAAAUGGUCAAAUAGUAAUACUAAGUUGAUUCAUUACCAUAUUAUCAAUGUUUUAAGUCUUGAAAGACUAAAAAUUCCAGAGACCAUUUCCAGCCCAGAGAUAAGAACUCAAAUAGUGGACUCGUACAAGAUUCUAGAAAUUGGUUUGGCAAAAAGUGGUUGCCCACAUGCAUUGAGAUAUUAAACUAGCUUCAAAGGACAAGAGGACCCAAAUUUAGAUUUAAUAAAUAGUAACCCAAAUUUAGAUUUAAUAAAUAGUAAGCCCUCAAAUAAAUGAAAAAGAAAAUAUAUAAAAUUCCAAAUCUGAAGCAUAUACUAGUCUUGUGAAUACCAGUAUCGCCAGCUUGCAGUUGCAUGUUCUGUAUGCAAGGAGUAACCCCCUCCAAGACAUACAUUCUGCUGUUAUUAUUGGGCCAAAAUCUGAACUGGAAUGUCCACUCUUUACCCUUCACAUCCUGUAUCCUUAUCGGCAGACCUUCUGAUUGAUUAAUAGGAGGGAAGUAUGCCUGAUUUCAAUAUGCAAUAGCUUCAUGACUAAAGGGCCAGAGAAGAAAAUUGGAUAAAUGGAAGUCAUAAGGUAAAACACUCUAUGCUUAAAGGUCUCAACUGAAUCAACAGCUCACCUCAGCACAUGCCUUGGGAAGAACCAGACGACCAAUCCGGCCAGCAUCACUAGCACUGAGAACUUUCUCAAACAACGGUACAACAGUGGAUUUCAAACUUCAACAGAAGAGUUAAAGUAAAACUACAUGUCGCAUGCAUAAUAGCAAGAUAAUAAGGAAGCUAUCAUCAUUUUUACUUUCACUUCAUAGAGGUGCUAAUCGAUUUCAGAGAGGAAAAACAGUGCAUUAAAUUAAAAGAAAAAGGAUACUCCCCAGAUAUCUGCUGCAAUUCUUGGUCUGUGAUCCUGGGCCAAUAGCGAGGAAGCAACUGACUGCGACCUCGCCCUUCAGCAGGAGGCCUGGCAAUGCGUGUUUGAGAACCCAUUCCUUUAGUGUUCUCAGAGCCUACACUGGAGCCAGGUUUGGGGGGUUUGGGCAGAAUCUGGCGUGCCCUUUGUCCUUGCUGGGCGGUAGAAACUCUGUUCUGUUCGCUUCCUUCAACAAUCCCUUCAGAAAUGGGCAGGGCUGAGCCUGAAGCACUUAGAGCGUUGCUCAAUGAGAAAUUUACAGAUGGCUGAGCUAGAGAUUCAGCCAUGUCUUUAAACCCUUGAUUUUGUCUACUGAUCUCUGGUUUGACAAACAUGGAUGAUCCAACAGAUUGGGGGGUGAAAUUGGGGGAGCUUGUGUUGACUUGCUCAAAAGGAAGCGCGGUUCCUUCACCUUUCUUCUGCCCAAGAGAUGCAUUAGUUCCAACUCUAUGAGGCUUAAACAUUUUUUUGGAACCAUUUACUUCCACAUUAUUGCAGAGUUGGAGCAGACUGUCGAAACUUCUAUGACCUAUUGUACCAUUGGGAAUUUCAUCUCCGAGGAUCUAUAAAACAAACAGUAGAAGCAUCCACAAGUCAAAACAUAUAUAAGAAAAACUUUCGCCUGCUUUCUCACUAAACUUUCUCAUAGAAAGACUUUAAAUGUAUAGACAAUAAAAGCUCACAGAGAGUAACCAAGCAUCAGAAAAAUUUAUGCAAAAGAACAAAACUAAAAUGAGACAAAUCCACCUGAGGGAGAGAAAGAUCAGCAUUCUUUUUUAAGAGAUUAAAAACAUUGGGUCUACCUUGUCCUCACAUAUAAUCAUGCAUGUUCAAAUAAAAUAAAAAUCGCAACUCACCUAUCAUGAUGGUUCAAAAAAUGCCAUUUUUGUAAGUCAAAAUGGAGAAGCUUGUUCGAAAAAUGCAUGUUCAAACAAAAUCAUGCAUGUUGAUGCAUGGAGAAGCUUAACUGACUGAUACUUCUGAUAACUUAGUACAACUGUUUUAGUCUCCUAUGUUUUAGUGACCACAACUAGAUAAGGAUGAAUUAAAAGACGUUUUUUGCAUCUUGUCAUGGUUACUACGUAGAAAUGCUAAAUACAUUGCAAAUCAUUGGAAGGAUGAUAACUAUCCAAUUGUCAUCAGGUUUUGCAAGUGAGUGAAAGAGUGAAAACUUGAAGAUGGCAUGUAUUAAGCUUGCCUUUAUCAUGAAGGCAUUUUAGAAUAACUCGAAGUACAACAGAAGCAAUUACUCUACCCAGGUUGUUUUCAGCAGAUUCAUCAGAUGAUGAAUUACCUUAACCGUUCUCAAUGAAGGAGUAUCCAUUUGCUUGACACACGUUAUACAACCCACACCUCCGAAAUCCAAGAACUCAUGCAACAUUUUUGAAGCGACACACCCACAAUGGAUUCGCUGCACAUUACUGUCUUCUUAGCUAACAGUACUCAAGAAAAAACGAAGAAGAAGACGAAAUAAGGGCAAUAGACAGUUGUAUCACCUUUCUGCAUAUUUUGCAUUCCCUCCAACCAUCCUCAUCCAGGUGGAAUUUCUCACAGAAAACUAGAUUUUCAUAAGCAGUUCUGCAGAGCGUGUGUCAGGCAAGCCACCACAACAACAACAACGUCGUUGUUAGUCCUCAAUCAAUAAUUUAAGACAACACAUAACAUUCUAGAUGGAUCAAACAAGUCGUGGACAAAAUACCAAAGAAACUGAAAAUUCUAAUUUUUACUUAAGAUUGGAAGUAUACGAGUUUUAGCAAAGACACCACAGAGCCAAGAAGCAAUCCCUUUUGCCCUCAUUUCUUCUGCGUAAGAUUGUAUACUUUUUAUUUCAUGAAAGACAAAAUUAAUGCCGAAUUAAUAACCAAGAUAAUGGAUAGUCAUCGCAUUAAUCUCAUUCGGACUUGUAUUCUUUGACCUAUGCCAACUGAAAAAACCUAGUACCAGCUAGUGUAAUUCGGCCCUCAGAACAAAAAACACGGGUGAUUUAAUUGGAGAAAAAAAGGCUUAUUGGACGCCCAACUUUUACGUGUAUGCAUGCAAGAAAUCUAUGCCAAUUAUUAACCCCUGUACGGAAAAAUCGUUUUUUGACAUGAGCACGGCUGCAUGAAUGCCAAUCUCACCAACACUCUUAAUACAAAUGGCAGUUGUAAUUUUUGCAUAAUACAUCUCCCAAGCCACAUUGACAACAUUUUGAAAAAUAAAAUUUAAAAAGAAAAUAAGAAAGAAGUAAUUAAUGAGAAUUUCGGAUGUGUAUCCCGGAAAAAAUUGGAAUGCGGAAAAAUUGGCGAAUAAUAGGAAAUCGAAGAUAUAGGGGAAAACAUAUCUAAAAUGCCAUCAAAACAGAGAAUUAAGCGGCGGGGAGUUAUUUUAGGGAUCCCAUAAUCAGCAUCCCCAAACUGCCCCUAAGAGAACAAAAUCAAAUCAAAAAAAUUUUGAGAGAUACAGGCGAAAAUUGAAAUCAAGAAUUUACCAAGAAAAGGGAUAGAAUUGGGAAUCAAGAAAAGAUUUUUUUUUUUUUUUUUACCCGCAGCUGGAGCAGAGCGUGGCGAAUCCACCCGAUUUCAAUCCCCAACCUUGCUUCCACUCAGGCGACGUCGUUAAACGGCACGCCUCGUUCAUGCAAAUCUUGGACCCCAUCUUUUUCUCUCCGCCCAAAUGCUACGAAUCAAAAAUCCUACAUCCCAUGUACGAGGAACCAAAAUCCUCGUCAAAAACAGAAUUCAGACAGUCCAACACAACCUAAUAAACACACGAGGAAAACAUUUUGACCCAGAUCAAACACACGCAAAAGAAAUCAACGACCAAAACAACCAAAACCAAUACACCUCACCUAGUUUAAAUAAAUAAAAUGCCACGUCCACAUGUGACACUCGAAAUUGAGCAGCUGAAAAACAACCCCAAGUAAUUCGACCCAAAAAAUCAUGAACUAAAUCUAAAAUAAGAGAAGAAGGAAACUGGGUUGCGAGUCAAACAUGGGUGGGAUGAAAGAGGUGGAAUGAGAUGGGUAACGGCGGAUGCAGCGGUGGAGAUGGAUUGUUUGGAUGAGGUAGCUAAGGGGGAAUUCUACGAAAUCAACAAUAAUAUUAUGUAUGUUGGCAUAGCAGCAGAGAUCAUAUAUAUAUAGAGAGAGAGAGAGAGAGAGAGAGAGAGAGAGGGACAGAGAAGGGGGUGGGCGGGGUAGAGAGAAGAGAGAGAAAGCGUGUAUGCAUGCAAAUGCAAAGGAAAACAGAUGCACAAAAUGCAUGCACGACACUUGAAGCCACCGCGACCUCCUCUCUCUCUCUCUCUAUCUCUAGUCUCUUUCUUGUAUGUAUCUAACACCUUAGCCAAAUAGCACCUCACAGCCCCCAACCAUUUUUUCUUAAAUUUUGGCCCCAACUAAAGUUUGGACUUUGGGACUAGUGUCUUUAGUCAUGGGUAUCUUCCCUUUUUUUUAUUUAAUCUUUUUUCUAUCUUGCUUCUGGCUUGCGGGUUUAGUUGUUUAUUAGGACAGUAAAACUAUCUGACUUUUUUUAAGUUAGCGGAGGCUGGAAACGAUGAAAUGAGAAAACUACCAGUACAGUAAAGCUAAAGCAGCAGCAGCAGCUGCAGUAGUUUUUGGCGAAGGUUUUAUUUAGCUACUAGAAGAAUCCCACGAGGAUGAGGGGAAUUUGGAGUUUGAGGAAUUUAAAGUUAAAAGUGGGUCAUGUGAGAGGAGAUGUCAAAUUAGCGCCACCCAACCCCAAGUACCACACGUACGUACUACAAAUACUACUACUACUAGUACCAAAUUGUAGUGGAAGGAAGCGGUUAGUGUUAGAUACUACUCGACUUCCUAGAUUUCAUUUCACAGUUCACAACUGCUGUCUUCUUCACUUGUUUGCUAACUGUACACUUACACAAGUCAAAGCUUUUAGGAUAUCCCCUGCUGUUACUAUUACAUAUGGUGCUACUUAUCCAGAUUUUUCUCUUCCCUUUUCUCGCCAAAACUCUCUUUUUUCCUUCUGCUUCCUCUUCGUUUUUUUUACAAUCUGGCACUUCAUGUCAAAAUAUAGUAUAGUAGAAAUUUUUAUAUGUGGAUAAUAUCCACAUACGUCUACGUUUUAGAUAAAUUAAUAAGUUACACGCGUAAAUGAGACGUGAGCCAUGAGAUUUUUUUUUUUUUUUUUUGGUGGCAUUGGUUAAAUUACUGGGUUUUAUCUCUCUCUCUAUUUGCUCUUCUCAGAACAGUUAAUAUUCUUUAGCUUAUCGUACGUUACAUUUUUCUUAAACAACAUGCAUGCGUACAAAUUUUUUACGUCUUAGAGUAUAGCAUAAAGGAUAUCAAAAUUCCCCCCUCUUUGCGGCAGCGUAUGUCGUAUAUCAAUGGUGAUAUAUAUAUAUAGACACACACAGUGCCAUAUAUGCUCCUUACCGCAAAGUUGUCAAAUUUAUUGUGCCUUUAACUGACUCCCAAAAAAUUAAUGGAAAAUAUUUUCUCCAAGUCCUGUCCAGGGAGGAUCCUAACCAGCUACCAAGUCAAUGCAUUAAAUAGAAAAGAUAGUGUAAUAGCUAGCAAUCCUACAUAUGCCACGUACUUUAUCUUUAUGAAAAUUAUUGCACCAAACGUGACAUCAUAUCAUGCAUUUCCUCCCUACCAAAAACAAAACAAAAAAGACCUCAUCUGCAUGUUCAUACUUGCUUACCAACAACCGUAUACGUACGCUAAUAUCAGAAUUGUAUAAUUUCUUAUUAUUACAUAAAAAUUAGGUCAUAGAAUAUGCUUUUAAACGUCGAAAAAAGCAGAAGAGGAACAACGUCAACAUGGACUUAUAACCCGUUUUAAUAAAUUCAAAAUCCGGGCAUCAUUAGUUCGUAUUGCUAUUUGUUAAGUCAACCUUAUUGACUCGAAAAUAAACGAUCAAAAAAGUAUUAUAUAAUUUUCUGGGCCUUUUUUCCCUUGCUUUCUGGUGAAAUUAUAAUGUAAGUGUAUGCUGUCUGAAAUCAAGCUGACGGCCUUCCCAUGUGGAUGGAUCGAUGUAUGUGUGUGUAUGUAUAUAUCCACCUGUUCACACGCAUAUAUAUAUAUAUAUAUAUAUAUAUAUAUAUAUAUAUAUAUAUAUAUAUGUUUCAAUUUGCAAUAAUUUUGGACUUUUGGGACAAAGACGAUAAAGUAAAUAAGCCUACAACCAGUGGAUUGCUUGCGGGCAUAUUUUAGUUUUUACGUUAAAUUAACCAGCAGUGAGAAUUUAGAAGCCUGCGUUUUGCACGAACGACGCCUUUCAACCAUAUUAACCGAAUCUUAGCCGGCCCCAAGCCCCGAGGAUUUGGCUUCAAAAUACGUACGAAUACAUUCCCCAACCUUUUGUAAUACAUUAGUGCUAAUUAAUUAACUAGGUAAUUAUUAAGUGACGAGGCUAACAAUUAACUCCCACAACGUCAAUAGUCUGAGCUUGAUUCUUCUUCUAUCAAGAAAAGCGUUUAUUCAAUUUCUAGCUAGUGGACGAAUCGAAAUUAAGAUUUUUUUAUGCAAAAAAAAAAAAAAAAAAAAAGUUUUCCAGACUGACUACUUUCAUUAUCUACCUCAAAUUCAGAACUUCCAAUUCCUACUUCAUGAACAUGAGAAAAGAAAACAGAAGGACAUCGAGUGCAAAUCCUCCAAAAUUUCUACCUUCAUCCCCAAAGAUAGUAGUGUUAAGAAAUUAAGGCAGACUUACAAGUUUGUAAUAAUAAUAUCAACAACUAAUCCUUCGUUGACAAAAAGAGAAAAAAAACCCAUGGCCUACUAUUCACCACAACUUGAUCUCCAACAAAAUCAAAAAAAAAAAAAAAUUAGAAGAAAAAGGGAAGCAUACAACAGUCAAUACUGGACUCUAAUGGACGAAACCCGUGGUCCUCCAUUUCUGGGCCUACAUCGACUUGAGCAUAUAUCUGUAGAAACCAUAUCAACGGCAACUCGUAUUUGGGAAGAACGUCGCGGAUUGAUAACCAUAUAUCAUAGAGAACCAUACAUAUAAUAGGUCAUCUUGAAUGAGUAGAUAAUUAGUCAGAUUGUGCUGCAUUUCCCGUGUAUGCCUCUAAUGAUGUGACAGAUAAAAUUUAUUAGUGCUUGGCAUAUAUGUGUCAAUGCAACAUUACCGCUCUGGCUCGCCGCUGCUUAUAAGCUUGAACAUGGCUGAUGAGGCUCAUCUUCUUCUUCUUCUUCUUCUUUUUUUGUGAUUUUCUUGACCUUGCAUAUAUCAACAAUGGCCCAGAAAACCAAGGCAAGCACACUAGUAUCCGAAAUGGCAUCAGAUUCCUGCAGCAGGUUUGCUAUGUUAAUUGAUUAGCUUGAAUAACUACAGAUUUCCUGGUUCAGCUACAAUAAAACUCGCUUUUCAUCAAGAACUAUCACAUUAUGUAUCCCAUUUUUCACGCUAGAGAGAACCUCCUAAUUCUGCGACGUUCAUUUGGUUUCUCUUUCAUUAAUAAUGGAUAUGACCAGGAGGACUAGCUAGCGUGUAAAUAUAAGCAACAAACUAUCCCCCUAUCUGCGUAUCUCUUUCAAUUCCUAAUAUGUCGUUAAUUACCUCAAUACAAACCAAAGGCAGAAGACCACCUCAUUAGAAAGAAUGUUUAACCUGGAAGAAGAGACUACUAUUUUCAUUAGAUCUAACCCUGUUCACAAACCAAAUGAGCAAUUAUAAAAUGCUAAGUUUUUUUGUUUAUUUCAGACAAAACGAGUCAGAUUUCCAUAUCCAGCCAAAAAAAAAAAAAAAAAGUAACGGCGCGACAGGUCAGAAUAGCAAUAUUUAUGAAUUAAGCAUAACUUUGGCGUAAAAUUAGGGUAUACGUGUAUGAACUUUUUAGUUUAGAUUGUGAUGUGUAAAAAUCGAACACAAAAAGGUUCUCGCUGAAUUGUCGUCCCCAAUCAAGCGAAUACAAACUGACUCACAAGAUGUAAUCAAUCCUACAUAGUCUCCUACAUAAAGCGUAAACAAUUAAAUAUAAGGUUUACAAGUCAUAUACUUUCAUUAUGAGCACUGAGGUCUGUAUUAAAAUCUUUCGGGUACCUUCUCCUCAAGAUAUACAUGCAUGCGUUUAAAUCUUCUUAUUUCAAUUCUAUUUUUUAAAUUUCAUUCCUCUCAUGCUAAAAAAAGUAUACAUGCAUGCCAAUUUUUUUAUACAUAAACACAUCUGAUCAAAGUAUGUAUCCCAAAAUUUCUUUUUCUAAAGUUUUGCGAUAUAACUAAGGUGGGAGAAUUUAAUUAACUCUUCGAUCAAGUUAAUUGAAUUGGUUGGACAAUAUACAAAUAGUAUGAUCCCUUUUUUUUUAUACUGAAAGCUAAUUAUUAUGUAUUUCAAAUCAUAAUUAUUAAACCCGACCCGGAGGGAAAUCCGACGAAAGAGGUGGGGUGAAGGGGUUUCUGGUUCAACCAGUGGGUGAGUGGUUCAACCGAUGGGUCACUAAAUAUAUUUAAAUGUUAUGUUUCGUAAUUGUUGAUAUAGUUAAAACUAUAAUAAAUUAUGUCAUGGUAAAUGCUCAAUUAGUCUAAUUUAUUAUAGUAUCAUUAAUUAUUAUAAGAAUUAACAAAACCUAAAUUCAAUUAGUAAUCCAUCAAAUUUCAAGUAUAAAAUUUUAUCUAAAUAUAAUUAUCUAGUUUAUUUAUGAAUUUUAAAUGCAAAAGAUUAUUAGGAACGAUAUUUGCCUUUAGAAAGAAUUGUGUGAUAUGUUAUUUUUUAAAUUCAUUUCAUAAUUUAUAGAGUUUCGGGAGUAAUAAAAUUUAUUAAAAGAUUUCAAAUAAAUUUUGUUUUGAAAAAAUAUAAUAAGAAUAAAAGUCUAAUAUAUAAAUAAAAAAAGACUCAAUAAUCAACAAAUGAGUUGUUAGUGUAGCAGUUGUUGCGUUUCCUUAAAUACAAGAGGUCACAGGUUCGAAGCGUCAUCGGCUCGGUUCACCGGAUUGACCGGUCGAAUGAUCGGAUCGGGCCGAGUUUAAUAACUAUGCUUCAGAUACAAAAUUUAAAGUCAACUUGUACCUAAAUUUCAUCUCUUAUAUAUAUAUAUAUCUAUAUAUAUACAUUUAAGGGAUAAUUUCAGAAACCUCCCCUGAGGUUUCUGACAUUUACACUUACCUCUCCUGUGAUUAGAACAAUUACACUGACCUCCCCUGAGGUUACUAAUCCUUUACAAAUUCAGUCCAAAUGAUUAAAAUAUUAUUUUAGAGAAUGAAAUUAGAAUUUUGUACCUGAUUUGUCCUUUGUACCACAUGUCCAAUGAAUGACAAAGUAUUACAAAUUAAUUAACAAUUAAUAAACUUUAACGAGCGUAGUUUAUAGACAAAUACGUAUUGCCUAUUUAAAGUACCAGCUCUUUACAUAUAUUUUACUUUCAAACAUUUACUUUAUCACAAAUAUUUAUUCUCAAAUACAGAUUUGUAUUUACUCUCAAAUAUUUAAUUUUUGUUAAAUACAAAACCUACCAGUUUUUCUUCCGUAGAAAUAUUAAUAUAACAUUUUUUCAAUUUUAUUUACAAAUAUUUAUGUAUUUAACAUAAAUUAAAUGAUUCAGAAUAAAAUACUCAUAAAGAGCUAAUACUUUACUCAUGUAAUGGAUGAAAGCCAUAAAAAAUUAACAUUUUAUAGGCCAUUUCUUUUUUUUUUAAUUUUAAUUUAUAUUAAAUAGAUAACCUAUCGAUUUUCUUUUUGCAAGAAUAUUAUUGUAACACCUUUUAAUUUUUAAUUACAAAUAUUUAUAUAUUUAUUAUAAAUUAAUAUUUUAAAAAUAAAAUACCUGUAAAGAGACGGUACUUUAAAUAAGUUAUGCGUAUUUGCCUAUAAACUACACUCCUUACUUAAAUCAAUAAACUACACUCCUUAACUUAAAUCAAUAAACUAUACUCCUUACUUUAAAUAGUGUAAUUUAUAGGCAAAUACGCAUAUCCUAUUUAAAGUAUCGGCUCUUUACAGAUAUUUUAUUUUCAAAUAUUUAAUUUAUGAUAAAUAUAUUAACAUUUGUAAUUAAAAAUUAAAAAGUGUUACAGUAAUAUUCUUGCAAAAAAAUCAGUAGGUUAUCUAUUUAAUAUAAAUUAAAUAUUUUUUAAAAAAUAAAUGGCCUCAUAAAAUAUUAAUUUUUUAUGACUUUCAUCCAUUACAUGAGUAAAGUAUUGGCUCUUUAUGGAUAUUUUAUCCUGAAUCAUUUAAUUUAUGUUAAAUACAUAAAUAUUUAUAACUAAAAUUGAAAAAGUGUUAUAUUAAUAUUUCUACGGAAGAAAAACUGGUAGGUUUUGUGUUUAACAAAAAUUAAAUAUUUGAGAGUAAAUACAAAUCUGUAUUUGAGAAUAAAUAUUUGUAAUAAAGUAAAUAUUUGAAAGUAAAAUACCCGUAAAGAGUUGAUACUUUAAAUAUGUAAUACGUAUUUGCCUAUAAACUACGCUUCUUAAAGUUUAUUAAUUGUUAAUUAAUUUGUAACACUUUAUCAUUCAUUGGACAUGUAACACAAAGCACAAAUCAGGUACAAAAUUCUAAUUUCACUCUCUAAAAUAAUAUUUUAAUUAUUUGGACUGAAUUUGUAAAGGAUUAGUAACCUCAAGGGAGGUCAGUGUAAUUGUUUAAACCACAGGGGAGGUAAGUGUAAAUGUCAGAAACCUCAGGGGAGGUUUCUGAAAUUAUCCCUACAUUUAAAUGCACACCUAGAUUUCCCUUUUCUUUUUUUUUCCAAUUUCUCUUUGGUUAAACAUGUAGAUCGGGGCCGGGCUGCAGAAUGAAAUGAUAGACCAAGAUUUGAUGGAGGCUUUUGCAGAAAGAUAAUGCAUCAAAAGAUUCUGGGCUCUGAGUGGCGAUACGUUUACCAAUUUCCUAUGGACCAGCAAAUUAGACAGGGAACGCCAAGUUCGCCAGCCUCUAUAUGCCCCCCCUUCUUUAUCGACUGCCCUUCUUUCAGCUGCCGCCCUUAUGAUUAUGGGGCAGGCAUCUUGCUCGGUGACUUACAGGUCAACGAUUAGAUUGACAAGUGCCUGCCUGCCUGGUUAAUUGUUUAAGCAUUUUGCAAUUGUUAAAUAUUUUCUGCAGAAAGUUAAAAAGGAUUCCUUUUUUCUUCAAUUCUUUAUCGAAUGAUCAUGUCUUCUAAGGUUCAUUCAGAUUAUUGUUGCCCAAGUUGUGAAACUUCUUUUAAGUCCAGCAAAGAAAUUUUAAGUCCCAAUUUGUAAAACCUGACAAGUACCAAUUCAAUGCACUUGAGAUUAGGGGCAUUUGCUUUUUCGGAUUGGUGAAGAUAGGGGGGCGCCUCCAAUUUUAAAACAAACAGGGUUAACAACAAAUUGUCCACUAGAAAAUUACUACAUGUUCUUACUUUGCUCUCUUCUUGUCGAAUUAAAUCAAUUUGCUCCAUGGAAAAUUGAGUUUCUUUUUUUCCUUCGAUUCUAUUAAAUCAAGAGGAUUUCGUAAUGUAACAUGUUUAUGUUGAAGGAAAAGGACAAAUAUUCGAUUAAUUAAUCAAUAAUGAGAGUAAUUGUUCGUGUGGACAAAUACACCUUAAACUUCACGUGUGUGUUUGUGUGCAUAUAUAUAUUUUUGUCCUAGUUCACAAUUUGCUGUGGGUGUAUUUGGUCUUUCUACAUGUGCGAAAAAACACUUGUUUGCCCAAUUGAUUGAGCUCGUUGAAAUUCCAAAGUGCACUUGACUUUUGUUCGUAACAUGUCAUGCAUCACAAGACUUAUAUUAGAUUUGAUGUUGCAUUUGUGGAUUGCUUCCCAUUUAACAAUGAGGUAAGGAUGUUAGAUGUUGUUUGAGAGUACAUUUUCAAAUUUUGAAUCGACGAAAAUUUCGUUGGUCUCAUAGACACGACGACAUGAAAAAAAAAAUUUUAAAAAAAAAAACAGCGAGAGAGCACCAAAUUUGCAAGGAAAGAUAAAAUUCAGCAGUAAAACAGCUAGAUUUCUGAAUAGAUAAUUGCCUAGAUAUCCUCAGUAAAACAGCUAGAUUUCUGCAUUUUAUUGAUUGCAGCAAGAAUAUAUCAUAUACUAUUGAGUUUGUGAACUAAAGAGUAAAAGCUCUCUUUACUCUUUGGCACAAUUUCCAUGUCAACCGUCCUAAAGAACUUCACAAGUUGUAGUAUACUAUCAUCUGUUGAAAAUAAAAAGCGUUAGGCCUAGUUUGGAUUGCGGUUUUUCGUCGGAAAAUUACGUCAUUUUCCGUAAUCACAUUUUCCUAUUACCUUUUUUCCUCACAUACAUCAAAUCGCUACAGUAAUUUUUCCAUGAAAAAUCAUGAAAAAUGCAAUCCAAACACAACCUUACAUUCUGGAAAUGUACGCUUCCACUAAAAUAGUAGUGCUUGUUAAACGCUGAUAUGGAUGGAUGCACAUUAAAGAUUACCCACCGAAGAAAAACAUGCACAUGAUAUUGGUAGAAUAAUAUAUCAACAUCUUGCAAAUGCGAGUUUUAUGCAACCCUUGAAAUGUCAAUUUGUUAUUCAUUUAGAGGCUCCAUGCAGAUUGAAGAUAUAGUAAUAAAUAUAUGCAGGGUUUUUAACAAUCCAAAAGCCGCUGAUAUAAUAUUGUUGGUUUUCUGCUUGUAUUACUUUUUUUUUUUUUUUGCCAGCAAAAAUACAUUGUAUAACCUACUCUGUCCUAAUCUAGGGGGAGAGGGAGCUUAAGGAGACUUGUAUUAGGAGCUAGUAGGUGUACAUAUCCAAUUAAAUUAAGAAAGUGCUAUGACACUAUUCUUAGAUUCUUUUUUUUUACUGUAGGUAAGAUUUGAACUCUCACCUACCGUCCAAAGAGGGACUUAAGUCCCUUCCUGGUGGCAACUGAGUGGUUUUUCUGCUAGUAUUACGGUUUAUUGAAUUUUGUUUUUCUUUUGGAACUCUGGGCUGACGUACACUCUGGAUUAAGCAGUUGUUCGAAUGUUGAGUUGCCACUGUACAAAUUUUAGUAGUGUAUGUUUCCUUGUUUACAGCUAGCAUCUGAUGCAUUUUCAUUCAAUAAUGUGAAGCGUAAAAAGUCAAGCCUACUAUUUACAGGUUUUAGUCACCUUCUUUACUCGUACUGUACGUAGAUGCGCAUGCUAAUUGUACUUGCGGUAUCAAUAAGACUGUCACGGAGGUAUUAGUUUGCACCCAUAAUUUCACGUGCCACAAUUCCGUCUCCUCUGUCAUCAUCGAUUACAAGAGUCAUAUCAAUAUACAAAUUUUAAUGAAAAAAUACACGAAGAAUUAUUACAUACAGUCGGAUAUAUAUAUAUAUAUAAAUAUGUGUGUGUAAAACGAAGAUUCAUAUAUCAUAAUCGAUUGACAGACCUCAAAUUAUUUUUUUAUUUUAAAUUUUUACAAAUAACAACGCCUAUACUAUACUUUUAAGGGACAACUGAAUUAUGUUAUGAUAGGAAUUGGAAAAAAAAGGCUUUGAUUGAAGAGGGAAACCCAACUAAAUUAUAUCUCCAAUGAAAGGGAAAAAUUCAAUUAGACGAUACAAAGAGUGUAAUGAUACAUUUGCGAUCAAAUUAUUAUUAUCUCUUUAACAAGUUGGUUAGUGACCCAAAAAAUCAUACAUACCAUCUUCUUGUUUCAUAUCUGCUCAAAAUCAACGUGAAAAAUUCAUAUCUCGUUUCAGACUUUUUCUUGCUGCACGGCUGGUCAGAUUCGUACAAUCAAGCAAAAUUUGCACAAGCAGAUUCUCUAAUUGCUCUUUCUAACAUAAGCAUUAGGAAUCUUCUAACUUUCUCCCCCUAUUCUGAAAAUUACGAUGCCGUAUUAGGCACAUAUUCGGACAUGAAUUGAUGGUUCAGAUCUAUUCCACAGUCAACUUGGAUUUCUCACUCUCCCAUAUGGUGACAUCUUUUUUCUGCCAAAUCAAAUAUUCAAGCAAGGAAAGUAUAAUAUAAUUAUCAUCUACCGCGUUUGUUCUGAAGGUCAAGAAGAUGAAUAGCCAUACAAAUUCGAAGUGAUGCGAAUUUAAUCCCUUUUUUGGGUUCUUUUUUCUUAACAAAAGUUAAUAAAAGAAACCAACAAAUUCUCUGUUGAUUUUGUUUGUUCACGUAAUAAUAGUCAAGAAAAAAAUAAGUAGUAGUACUAAAGUUGACGGGCUUUUUAACGCUGGCUUAGAGAAUAAUAAAGAAUGGAAGAAUAGAAUACAGUAACAUGACCAGUAUUACACAGAAUCAACCCACGCAUGGGCCAUGGGGCAUGGCAUGAUGGAGUAGCCUUUUGCCAAAAUGAGACAAAUUCGUCCUUAAUCCUCUACUCCCGUGUGAAUGGAAGGGUAUGCAGUGCAUCUCGAGAACAAAAAAGGCAGGAAUCAGUACUGAGCUGGAAGGAUCUCUGUCUAAAGAUGAAGAGGAUAUAAUGGAAGAGGAAGAUAUAUUACUGCUACCGCGUAGGAUAGGAAUCAGGAAGGGAGGAAAUGCUCUCUACUAAAAAGACUUUGAAAGAGGGACGCGAAAAAAGAAGACUGAUGCAUUUUCUCUUUGUUUUUCCUCUCUCUCCUCUGUUGCCAUGUCUGCAACCUUGUCCCAGAAACCCAAAAAGAUCACGUAAUAUCUGUGACUUGAUUUUAUCACGAUUCCACAAGUUUUUCCCCUCCCUACAUAUGCAUUUGCGUAUCGAAAAGAGAUUUAGUACCCACAUUAUUAUUGUCUUAAUAAGGGGAUCCUCUCCUUUCCAGUUUCCCCUAUAAGUAUUAGUGGCAAUUGCCAUUCCCCUUUCCCCACCCUCACCAUAAGUUAAAAUCCUCUGCUCGUCAGUCGGUCGUUUAGCGUUCAGAAGAAGACAUAUAAUUAAUGAGUGUCUUGGUCCUCUCACAAGAGCCUUUGUCGGUUGCUUUUUGUUGGGUUCUAUAGCUAGCAGCUAUGGCAUCUUCUUCAAGAGGUCGAGAAUCGGAUGAGAGACCCCAUGUUUUAGCAGUGGACGAUAGUUUAGUAGAUCGCAGACUCAUUGAGAAGCUCCUCACCAGCUCUGCAUGCAAAGGUAAUGAACCAUUCAUUUGUUCAUUCCUUCCCUUUUUUUUUCCACAGGUUCUCAGGCUUCUUCUUGCUCUCUCUAUCUCUCUCUGUAUAAUUCACUCGCUCAAGCCACUACUCUUUUGAAAAAAAAAAAGAAGAUGUUUGGCAAGUGGCAACCAAGCCUAAAAAUCUCUUCAAACCUCACAAGUCAAGUCAGUAUAGAAACGAGGAUGGACAAUGGAUCGUGGGCGACGUUGUCAGAGUAGUGUUUGUGGUUAUCCUUUACUCACCACCCGACCCCGACCCCGACCCCAAUGACGGAGCCAAGUAGGGGCAGAGGGGGGCCAUGGCCCCCCCUAAGUUUUGAGAAUUUUAAUUCAUAAUAUGUAAAUAUGUGUGUAAAAUAAAAUUGGCCCCCCCUAAAUUUUUUCAAUUUUAGUUUAUAUUAUGAGAGUUGAUAUAUAUAUAUAUAUAUAUAUAUAUAUAUAUAUAUAUAUAUAUAUAUGAAUUAGUCAUCUUUGAAUGGAAUUUCAAUUUUGGCCCCCCCAAAAAAAAAAUCCUGGCUCCGUCACUGCCCGACCCCAACCCCAGCCCCACCAGUUACGCCGCUUAAAUGAUGCCAUAGCUUCGGGAAGAUUAGUCCGGGUGGCAGUAGCCAGUAGUACGGUAUAUCUAACGCUUUUAACAACAUCACGCCUUGUGCAUGUUUCUAAUCUGGCAGAAAAUUGUGGGCUUGAUUGAGGUGACGGCUUGCGUAUCUUUAACCAACCAUUUUUGACAAAUUGACAUCAGUCCUUCCUAAUACUCUGCUUGGUUAUUUACUGCUCGACAUGUCACAUGUAGCAGUAAUUAAUUGUUGGCUGAUUUUACUGUAAUAGUAGAUACUAGUAGUACUAGUAGUGUAUGUCGAAUGUGACGGGGUGUGAUGCUUCCUAACCCCAAUUUCUGGAAAGAACAAUUUUGUUUUGGUUCACUGAAAAAUCCUCCUCAACAAGAUCUUCAAGAUUCAUGCCAACUAAUCCUGAAAAUCACAACUGAUGCAGUUUUAUCACAUCAUCGCCUUCAAAUUUGCUGCUGCUACUACUUUUUUUCAAGGGCUGAAAAUGGUUUAUUGUUGGACAUCAAAUGAGUUGAGGGCAAGAAGCGAGCUUAAAAAAUGCCAAUUUCUAGUAGAAAAAAAAUAUACACUUGUAUUUCAAAUGCCAAUUUCGCACCAUGUAGAUCGUACAAUAAUUCUGCGCUGAAUUGGUCCCCGGUAUUUUAUGUGGUAGUUACGACUGCAGAGAACGGGCAAAGGGCUCUCGAGGUCUUAGGCUUGGGAGAUGGACAACACGCCAACAACUGUGUAAGUAGAAAACUUGCUUUUAAGUUGAUAAAUAGGUGAAUGAAAUCUGCAGCUCUUAAUAAGCAAGUUAUACGCUUCAAUCUUUUCGUCAAUGCUACAACUUUUUUUUUUUGGUUGAUAUGGACUAUUACUUUAUAUUUUUCUAGCUCAUUUUUUUCUGAUGACUGCAAUUGAUUGAUACAUUUUGCAGGUGUCGGAGAUAAACUUGAUAAUUACCGAUUACUGCAUGCCAGGGAUGACAGGGUAUGAGCUAUUGAAGAAGGUCAAGGUGAGCCAUAUUUCACUUUAUGCAUUUUCAAAGCAAGCUCUCGUUUUUAUAGAUUGGCAAAUUCAUGACGAAUGUCUUAACAUGUUUCGUUACUGAACAGGAAUCAUCCAGACUGAGAGAGAUACCAGUUGUCAUAGUAUCAUCUGAGAACGUCCCAACCCGGAUUAAGGAGUAAUAAUCAGGCUGCAAAUUCUACUAAUUUUAAUCUAAGUGGCACAUGAGGCAAAUUUAAUAGCGUUAAAAGUUUAUGCUUAGAAAGAAACCCAGAAAUAUACGUGAAAUCAACUCUGACAUGCCUCAAUUCUUGUUAACUCAAAUUAGGUGCUUGGAAGAAGGAGCUCAAGAAUUCAUGCUAAAGCCUCUCAAUCAAUCAGAUGUAAUGAAAUUGAGAUGUUAUAUGAUGAAAUUAAGCCACCCAUCCAAAGGACAGCUCUGCAUUGGGAGAUAAAAGUUAGCAACUCUGAAAUGAUGGAUUUGAUAGAAAGAAAGGUAUUAGGUAGGCAGAGAUUUGUAUCAACAUCAAACUUGUUAUCAGUUGAACGAUCCUCUUUUGUAUGUUCAUAUUUUGUUCCAUUAAUAUCUAAAGAAAUUUUAAUUUAAGAAAAUGUUCCAAAGCAAUCUCAUGAGGCCCCAAAAAAAAAAAAGGAAAAAGAAAUAAAUUCUGCUUGCGGCCCAUUCCUUUUCCAUUCACUUCACACUAAUCAAAGAACUGCCAAUCAAGCAAGAGAGUAUCGUGGACAAAGCAAAGUCAUGUCAAAUAAUCUGAGAUCUAAUUGAUCGUACAUAUCCCUUGACAAACUUUUAGCAGGAGAAAAAGUUGUAGGGGCAAUGCAGGACAAGCCAAGGAAUUCAAUAUGCUCAAAGCUUCAAGCCUUCUUCCCCGUUACCUUAGCAGAUGCUUCCUUCAGUACCUGAAUGCAAAGAAGUUGCAGGACACAGCUAUCAAGCGUCAUCACCUGGCAUGUUGACUCAAUACUACUUUUCUCCUCACUUCCUGUCCUUUCUUCAUGCCCAAAUCCUUCUUCCAGAUUUGCUAGUUGGGAAGAACAAAAGACAGCUGAUUAGCAGUCUCUGCAGAUUCGACUCUUGCCAAUAACACAACAUACAAUAAAAAGUCAGUUCAAAGAUAAAAAAAAAAAAAAAGUAGUAGAUUUUACUUACCUCCGGAUCCAGUUUGAUGCAAAAAAGAGCUCUGAGCAUUAACCUGACAUCUAACCACAAUGAAGAAUUAAUUAGGCUAAUUUAACGUUCUCUUUUUCCUGCGAAAGAACAAGAUUCUGAAGGUACAAAACAGAUUUUAUGCUAUUCACGUACUUAGCAUCUACAUGGGACGAAUUGCCAUCAAUACUUGAAGUAGCCCCAGAUGGUGAUGCAUCUUCAUCUUGGAGACAAUCCGUUUCUUUCACAUUCUCUCCGGCUUUUGAAGUCCCAUUAGUGAAUUCCUUGCAAUUAUUAGACUUGUCUUCCUCAUCAGGCGUACAAGUACACUUCCGACAUCCUGAGGAUAAUUUUGAAGCCUCAGUAGUGGAUUCCUUGCAAUCACUAGACUUGUCUUCCACAUCAGCUACAUAGAUAAACUUCCCACAUCCUGAGAAUAAGCUUUUUCUGCAGCGGGAACGCUCUCUCCAAUGCUCCAGUUUUCCAUGUUCAGAUACAGGGAGAUCAGAAUGUUCAUCUUCCUCCCUGGUAAUGCUUUGCAGUUCUGAUUCUGGAAAACUGUGACCAUGCAUUGACUUCUGAGGUUUAUACCCCCUAUUGCAGUGCUCAGAAAAAUUUAGCAUACUUGACACUGGCGUAACUUUUUCCAACUUACGUUGGUGGGAAUCAUGUUCUUCUGAUGUCAGGUUGCAACAAGGUGAGCAAUCAGCAUGCACAUUGGUACCUCCGGAUGUGCCAAAGAGAUCUUCAAUCCAAAGUCUGGAGCUUGGAUUUGUAUCAUAUGUCCUGGGAUAAGGAUUAUGACGUGAAAUUGUCUUGCCAGGAUCAUAUGCUUCCUCAAACAAUCGGCCAUUCUCUGAUUUCAACCUCUUCUCAGAAGUCAUUUUUGAGUUAUCAGCUGGUUGCGAUCUUGAUGAAUUUGAAAUCCUAGUAAGCUUUCCUUGCUCAUUUGUGUUGUCCCCUUGCUGGUUAAUCUCCAACUUAUUGCAGGUUUUUACUCUGCCAUACAUAAUGUUUUCACCACAGAUGUUCUCUGAGCAACCAAAAUCAGCACUUUUCGGUGUCUGUUUCUCAGUUGAGUUCAAUGUGCCUUUCUUCGAUACACCCCCCACUGAAAAGAGAAUCAAAAGGUAUGUAUAGUGUAUUUUGUAGGGUGAUAAUUAAGCCAAAUAUCUACUGCACCACUAAAUAUGACCUGCGCUCGACGAGCAUGACUCCUCACUGUCAAGAAAUUAAUCGAGAUGAAAUUAGUUUAUAGAGAAACAUAUAUGACAUUUCCAGACAAGAACAGCCAGGUAUAAUGACCUCAGCAAACUCAAAUUGUCUCUUGUAUCUUCAGUUUUGAAGCAUGACCAUGUGGGUUGGUAAUCAAUAUCACCAACAUCAUGGUCUCUGUGAACUGGAGAUCUCCUGCCAAUAUAAAAGUUAUGGAGUUUAGUAGAAACGAGCAUGCUGGUGGAGAUGGGCUAUGUUAUUGAACUUUCUUACCAUGUCAUCUCCGGAAUUGUGGAAUCAUGAAAGUUCUCUGAGUUCUGGCGCUUCACAUAUAGCUCAGGUGAAUCUGAAAAAGAAUAAAUAAAUAAAGAGAGUAAUAAAGAAAAGAAUAAAAAAGGACAUAAAACAUGGAGGGGCGAUCACUAACUGAUAAACAUUCAAGUUUCUGGUAUGAUCUAAACAGUAGAGGAAAUGAAGACAACAGAACAACAGACUCCAAAAUCACUGAAGGAAGACUGAGAACAAAAAUUAGAAAACUUGAGAAUGAACUCCAUAGCUGAGAAUAAUAAAGCACCUAAUAAAGAAAAGCAGCCAGCAGCUGAGGAAGUGCAGAAUAGCUAAAUCAGAAUUAACAAAUACAAUAAAGACAACCAAAGAAUGGGACUGAAAAGCACCUCUAUGUCCGAGUCUCUUUGAUUUUCUCAUUGUAGUCCUACACAAACGCAGUAAGACGAUUAAUCUAUAUCAGAUGGUACUAUAUGCUUUAGUCAAAUAUAGGUCAAUUCCUGUAUGUAAAACCUGCUCUUCUGUCGAUAAGAGCCUUGAAAAGUAAAUUCUUCACUCCUGCAGUCCAUGGUAUAAUAAUCAUCAGAAGCAUCUUCUUGAUCCAUCCAAAUGUUGCAAGAUGAACCAAAAGCACUCUCGUCAAGAAUUUUGCCAGUUACAGGCCUACAGGUUGCUGGAUGACAUUAAAUAAAUAGUAAAUUAAAAUUUAUUACAUUAGAAGAGCCUGAACAUGAAGCAAAUGGGGAUGCCAAACAAACAAUGAAGCGCAUGGUACAGCAUGUUCAAUAAAUAUUUAGACCACAAACCCAAUUUUUUUACUUCUGUAUAUAGGUGUUUCAAAACUCUAAUCAAGACUAGCUAAUACAUCUCCCAUCUCCCCCAAAAAAACAGUUUGCAUUAAGAAUGACAAUGCUUCUUCAAACUGAUGUUAAUAGCUCCCAAACUAAAGAUUGACCUUAAAGUCCUUCCAAAAAAAGAUGCAGAAAUAUGCAUUACCAUCCCAACUGUGCCUAUUUCUCUCUGUUUUGUGGAAGAAUGGUUCAUCAUUCUGAAAAAGAUCAGUAAAACCAUUAUCAUUGUCAUCAAAUAUUGAGAAUUCUCUGGUGUCCAACAAAUCUUGCUUUGGCUUGCUGAAAGAACCCAAUAUGUCCUUUGAACAGAAAGAGUGCUCCACAGAACUUUUACAUAAGGGCACAUCAACUUCCUGCAUCAUAGCAUCCUGCAUUACAUCAAUCAAAAUACUUACUCCAUGAUAUCAAUAAUUACAAGGAAUGCUGGAGUCAAUAACAAACGAAACAUCAAGAGCCAUACAUGUGGAGGCAGAAUGCUGAAAAAGCAUGUAACUCCUUUUAGCAACAAUUUUCAGAGCUACCAUAAUGUCAUAUCAAGGCACAUAUAUAUAGCUCUUUGUUUUAAAAUCAACAGGUAUUAAAUCACAAAGACCAACACAGAUAGAAGUCAGCAACAAAGAUCAAAUGCAAUAAAAGAUGUCUAUAAGUUUUUCUCUAUUGUGAUACUAGGCACAGAUAGCACCCGUUAGUUUCACAGAUAAGCAAGAGUACAACAUAAUAAGAUGCUCCUUUUAGUUUCCUUUCUGUAAAAGCAUGAUCAUAUGUAAAAUUGAAUAAAAGAAAUCCCGUCCAGGCACUCCAAUUGAGAAUUGGUAAGAAAAGCUCCAGUAAAGAAAUUUAAAACUGUUGAUAAGAUUUAGAUUAUAUAUUCACAGAUAAAUUUAAAUUUCAGACGAACAUCACUGCUAAAUUUAAGUUUCAGAUGAACAUCAAGAAAGAAUAGAACAUUAGAAACCUUAGCGAGGGAUUAAUGACUAGAACUUGACACUUCAAGAGGGAAUUUGACAUGAAAAUGAAGCAUUGACUCUUUUGACAACGAGAUACCAUGUUACUGAAUAUAGAUUUUCAAUACAUAGUUGACGAAGCAAUCUUUUGACAGUAGAAAUUAGGCAUCAGCAUUUGCAUUACCAAUUCAAAUUCAAGGUUAACCAGCUCGCUGUUAAGGUUGAACGAGUCAGCAGGCCUCAUAGCUUUUGAUGGUGGAGAGCAACCAUGCAAGAAGUUUCUGCAGUCAAACAGCACAAACUCACUCUUCACACAAUGCUUCAACUGUGGCUCUUGAGAGAUUAACUAUAAAAAUGAGAAUAAACCUAUAACUCAAUGAUGCUUAUGAAGAGGAAGUUCUGAAUGCAGAGGCGGAAACUGAAGUAUUUAUGACAGCAAAUGGUGAAACAGGAAGGGUUUUUCUAAUGAUGGAUUUUGAUAAGCAAGAAUAUAUUUGAUGGCAUGACAAUGGCAUCCUCUACUAAAGAAACUAUUAUGAAUGCAAUUCCAUUAACCAUCCAUAAGGGCUUGUGGAUGCCUAAGCAAAGAGAAAGCAUACAAAAGAUAAACAUCAAAGCAAUACAUUGAUUUAAAAUAUCAAAGCAUACAUUAGUUGAAAUCCUUAAGCAAUGCUAGUUAUAUGAAAGCUACAUGAGUUAAGCUCUGCCCCCUUUCUUUUCUUCUCUCUCCUCAUUCACCACACUUUUUCAGAGUCUUCCCACCCCCUCCUCCAGUGCACCUCCCCCCUCUCCUAUCCAUCUUUCCUCUAUUUGCUGCUAUCAUGUUUGGCGGUUGCUGAUCAAGAUGACCUCUGCAUUGAUGGGUUAUUUGCCAGUGUUUACUGGGACUUGGCAGACAAGAUAAUGAAAAAGAAAAUGAAGUAUUGGAAGGAAAAGGUGGUCACAUUGAUGUGUUGUGUUAGCGUAUAUUCUACCAAGACUCUAUAUCAUUUUUCUGAUGAUGAAAUAUUAUCCUUAAAAAUGAAGUAGAUAAAAAUAAGAUUCUCCAAAAGCAAGAUUAUAGGAAGAUGCUGUAAACCAUUGCAUCACUUAACAUGAUUUGACCACAUGACAAAACGAGGAAUUUUAAUACCUCAGGUAUGUACUAGGGCCACAUAAAUACAUUGGCUUAGUAUUAAGAGUUGACUCAGAAGUACUCCAUUUUAAGCUAAAGUAUUUGAUCUAAUGAUUGAGCUCCAACAAGCCACUAAGUCAGUACAAUAUCCAGGUUGUCAGAAUUUGGCAUAAUAUGUGGGAAGAUAUUCAACUGAAUUAAUGCCAAAAGUUUGUCAGACUUUGUUUGCAUGGGAUUUAGAUCUAACACCACCACUACAAGUCAGAUUAGUUUGUCACUGGGUCCAAAUUUAGUCUGCACCAAUUUUAGUCACUUCUCAAAAGAUUGUUCUCUGUAUCACACUAAAGAUAUCUUACCUGCCAUGCACCUCUGGUGCACGAACUGGCGUAUGAACUGGAGUCUCCAUUUCCACUCUACCAACACCUGAUAACCAAGUGCACAUUCAGUUACAUUGGUGCAUCAUGCAUCAUGUAUGUUCAUAGAGAUCAUAAAUGCUCAAUACGUGGAUAAAUCUAUUGAACAAAGUAACGAGAGUGACACUGAUCUCAAGUGACAGUGGGUAGUAAAAGAUUAAAGCAAGCAUUAAUCCUUUCCAAUUCUGAACUAUCAUUAAUUUUAGCCAAAACACGCCUGUUUGCUGAGAAAAUUUUCUUUUACUUCUAAUCACAUGCGUCUGCAAAUACUCAACUAAGCCAGACACGUAUAGAACUCAAAAGAAAAUUUGACAAGCAGCACAAACUGGAAGCUUACAAUCUUGGUACUGAAAAAUGUAGUUUCUGUUUCCUUGUUGAACAAUUAAACUUAUUAGGGAAUUGCAUUUUCACAAAUAAGGAUAAGAGAAAAGUAGAAUUAUCUGAUCAGCCUUGUACAUUGUACCUUCAAUUGAAAAUGCAGCAUGAGCUUCAUGUUCUAAACUUGAACCAGUAUGGAGAUUUGGUUCAUCAUCUCCAAGUAUGUCCAUCAUACCUAGUUCUGUAAACAGUUCAGGAAAGGAAAUUACAUAAUUAAUGCAAAGAUACGAGAUCCAUAUAGCUCUUUACUUGAAUACAACGAUUGGAUGGUUUUGACUCCAAAUUUUGCUUCUGGCAUCCCUUCUUUCUUUUCUGACAUUCAGUAUACCAGUGCAGAUUGUAAAUGCAACUUCAUAAAAUGAUAUAUAUUCAACCAAACUUUUGUUACCUUGAUACCCUGGGACCAUUUUUAUAUGAUUUAUCUUGUCAUCAUCUGAGUUGAAAGUUCUUGCAUCUUUACCAGAAGUGCUAACCAACAUCCUGAUAGCAUUGCAGGUGUUAAUUAUGCUCAAGACUUUCCAAAAAAAAAAAAAUCAGCAAGCAUGAAGAUCAAUAACUGCUUAAACUUGGCAGUCCAGAGUGGAGAACAAGUAUAUCAAUGACUACUCAAUAGCCAGCCAAGAUUAUUUUGUGAUGCUGAAUAAUCACUUCAGAAUACUACCAGUUCAAAGAAUACUUGUGAAUGCGAAUUUUAAGAUAUAAUUGACUAUUUGUAGUUUUAAUUACUAAACAUUAUUUUGUGAAUAUACUUACGUCUUUGUGUAUGAACUGCCUGGUUGAUAGCUUGAUGAAAGUCCUAUAACAACACAAAUUUGGGUACUAUUAUCUCCAGCCCUCAGAUUAGCAGACAAGCAGAGAAACUUGAUCAAAAGAAAAAAAAUUCAAUUAAUUUGAGCAGCAUACUUGCUUCCUCAGCUUCAGAGGGGCCGGAAGGUGUGAAUUUGUUAGCUUGAAAACAUUGUAUUGAUUGUGGACACUUGAGUGCUUGAUAGUUCAGAGCACGGUGCUCUGUUUCAUCGUUUCCUUGCAUGGUCAAGAAAGGACUCAGGAAGCAUACACAGACAUGUCAAUUUCAUCAAGGCAUUAGGCAACUUAAGCAUGAGACGUCCAGAUCAGACACAUAGGAUGACCACAGCACCCAACAAGCAAUAAUGAAGUAGAGCACUCCUGAAGUUUUCAAGUCUAACAACUUUAUAUUCAAUGAUAGUAAUUAACAGGUUCUAGAUAUAAUGAUGCAAAUGAUUUGCUGCUCUAGUAGAUUCACUACCAACUGAUGGACUUCAGUCAUGCUAAGUCUCAUCAGCAGAAUUAAGUACAGGUGUAAGCACCCAAAGGGAUAGAAGUCAUUAGCUAUACUCAUUUAAAGUCACAAACCCAACUACUUCUCACAGUAGCACAAAAAUUGUAGUUUACUAGCAUGCAGUAUUUUAUAUUUAAGGAGGAAAAGUAAAACAAUAAAAAGAUCUGUUGAAGUUUAACCGAAUCUGACAGUUGACCAGGAUCUCCUAUCCUGGGAAAUGGAACUGUUAGGUAAAAGAAAUAAAAAUGCAAGCAUGCCCCAUCAUUGUUUCCCAUAAAGUAGCUCAAAGGGAGAAAAAAAAAGGCAGCCCGUAACCCUUUAAGAGUUGGACUAGGAAAAAAAACAAACAAACCUAAAGGGUAAUUUGACUUGUUCUGUUGCACAACAGUUGAUAAGUUCUGAAAACUUAGAAUAUCCAGAGAUCUACUAUUUUCAGCAUGCUGCCCAUGGAUAUUGUGCUCCUCAGAAUCUUUCCUCCCUCCGGUCGCUUGCUGUUGCCGCCUUUUCUGCUCAAAGUAGUGUUUUUGCCUGUAAUAUUAAAGAAUAUGUAGCCUAUAUUACUAAUCACCCAAUAAAAUCCUUCAAAGUUCUUGACAAGCCAUGACAUGAGCAGAAUGUACAUUUGACAAGGGCUUAAAACUGUUUAAAAACAGUAAGAACCAUAAUUUCUAAUGACCUUUUCUGCGUUGACAUUCUUGUCUGAAAUUUCAGCACGCCCCAGAAUCAGAAGGUUUUGUUCACCCAUAUAUGAAAUGGAGAGGAGGACAAAAAGAUUAACAUGUUGAACUGCACAUAAAAAAGCUCAAAGAUGUUCCACCUUGUCAAUCUAUAUAAGUGAUGUUAUAGUACAAUCAUAUAGGACUUUCAAUAUCUUAGAUGCAAGCAAUUGUUUCAAAAACUUUUCAUCUUUUUAAAUUUUUUGUUAUUAAAAGUGCAAAGUUGUGAAUGGUUAACAAAUUUUAAACGCAAUCUGACUUGUUGAAUGCAACUUCACUCGAAAGUGCAAUAUUUUUCAAGCAAUACAGCUUCAUGAUCUUGUUUUACAUGUUUGUGCUCAUGCAUGUCUCACCCUUUUUACUUUCUAGAAACAAAACUGAAAUGAUUUCCUAAUCGAGAAUUUUUAACAGGAAACAGUGGCAGAAAUUUUGACCGUUUUUCAAGAUUAAUCUAACGUUUACAAUUCAAAAAAGUAAAGAAAAGAAAUUUUCGCUAAGAAUUAACAAAAUAAAAUCUAAUACGACAUCAGACUUACGGAAGUCACUUUCCGCCGAGAUCCGCCCAUCCAUUGCAACAUUUUUGAAUAUUCAAAUAUCUUUCUAAAGCCACAACCUAUACAAACACCCAAAAGCUGGAAAAAAUAAGUAAACCAAGACAAUGAGACUAGCUACGGGGAAAUAACUUAAUACCAGCAACUCUGGCAAUAGCACCAUAUAUAAUUAAGCUCUGAGUUCAAUUUCAAACACAAAGCUUGCCAAAAUGUGAAAUUAGUAAUUAAAAAAAAUUAGUCAGCUACACUAGCUUAUUAACGAAAAUAACAGAUAGGCAUCAUUUCUACUUCUUGUGUUCACGAAUCGAAAUUCUGUAUCAAUGCAAGCAGUUGAAAUCAAACGGGAACUAGUGUACAGUAAAUUUACUUGGGUCCUUGAUUGUUACAAUAACAAACUUGGUGAUGUAAAAUCAGGAUAUUCUCUAAAACCUAACGAAUCACUGGUUAGCUAUUUCGCUUUUAAGAACUUAAUUACUUCAAUUCCAUAGGCAUCGAUCACAAUCCGGAAGCAAUCACGUAGACGCGAGUAUGUAGCGGGGAAGGUCUCGGUAGUAGUUAAACAGAAUUUGAGGGAGGUUUCCGGAGUCGUAAAUUACCUAGGCGGUGAUUUCACCGCCAAAUAGAAACCGAAAUGCAGGACAGCAGGAGAUCGACCGGAGAGAUUAUGCCGCUUUCUAUCAAAAUGCCGGCGGAGAGAAGCAUCAGUUUGUACUCCUUGUUUAAGUGAGAGGGGACGCGGGAGUUAUUUCGUGCUGAACGUUUCCAAUUACUAUGACGUAUUGAAGUGUUUUAUUCCUUUAAGCAGCUACCACUCGACGUAUUGUUUGCAACAAAAAUAAAAUAAAACUUCUAACAAUUUCAUUGAUUAAAAAAAAAAACUUUUUCCCCUUAAUUUGUACGGUGUGCUUUUUCCAUUAAUAUAAACUAAAUUUUGUUAACUAAUCACUUUACUUUAGCACAACUAAGUUAUGAUUAUAUUUUGUUUGAUUAGUUAGUGAAUUUUAAGGAGACAAACUUGGCUUCUUAAGUAUUGAGUAACUUGGCAUAUAUUUCAAUUCCGUAGGUCAAGGAUAAAUAAGUCUUACAAAUUCUAUGAUUUUUUUUUUUUUGGAGAAUAAUUCUAUGAAGUUCAUUGCGUAUGUCGAUAUCAGUUUCCAUGAACCUUUUUUUGCCACAUUCACCCAUAAAAUGGCCAAGCUAUUCAUGAACGAUGUAAAAUUUUGUGACCAAAUUGUAAUUCAUUAUUAACUACUUGUAUAGUUCCGUAACAAUAAUUGAAUAUCAUUUAUGGUUUUCACAUGAACAGUAAUUGAAUUCACGCUACUAUUGUGAAGUUGUGCAAAUAAAUAAUAAUAAUAAUAAUGAACUAUAACUUAGUUCAUAAAUAGUUGUAUUCUGCCAUUUUUUCCAAUUAUACAUGUUAUGAGAUUAUUUUUCUUGCUAACAAUUAGGAUUGUUAAUGAGGUUGGGUUGGCUUAUACUAGUUUAUUUUUUCACCACAAAAUCCAAUAAAGAGUUAAGCACGGGCCUUAAAAUGUUCAAAUUCAAAUGGAUCAAACCGAUAGUGCUAUUUCUUUUUUCUUUUUCUUUUUUUUUGGUUUGGGGGGGGGGGGUUGUUGCGAGUGGAGGUAGUGCUAUUCAAUUUUGGAUACAUAUUUGUCUUUAUUAUUAUUCUAAAGGGGGGUGGCGAAGCUUAUCAAGUAAAGCUAAUUAUUGACAAAAUAAGUGAAAGUCUUUAGUCAUGACUAAAAAUAGUACCGAAUAAAGGUUUUGUAUGGUGUGAAAAUCUGAAUUUGCUUUAUCCUAGUUGAGAAAAUUAUAUGCUGUGACUUUUAUAAAUCUUUUGUUGGGGAAAACGAACUUGUACAAGUCGACAAUGAGAUAUUUCGGCACCGCUGAUUGAAUAUGGACAAGGGCUUGGCUGUGUGGAAAUUGACGCGGUUCAUCAAAAUCUUCACCGCACAAUGAGAAGAUUUUUCGUCCCCGAAUGCAUGCGAACAAUCAUCUGUAUCAUGAUCUUGAAAGUAUCCUUCGUGGCCAUCAACGAGUUUGACACAAAUUCCCAAAAGUAAAGGAACGAGUUUCGCAUUUUGUAUAUGGCGGCGAUUGCCGGAUUGGACUUUUGUUUGUGGGGCGGGUGACCGAUGCAGCAUGGCCCAUAUACGCUGUGCACUCCGCAAUGGUUCUUCGAGGGCAUUAAACUCUCAAUGUAGUCAAAGUUAAUAAAUUCGACUCGACAGAGGAUCAGAUCAAUAGGUCACUCGUUAGAUCAGUGAACCGCUGAUUGAACCGGUGAGUGGGUAGUAGUUUAAUAUUUAUAAAUAUAAAAUAAUAAUUUUAAUAUAUAUAUAAAAUAUUUAAUGAAGUGAUUUUAAAUACUAAUUAUCGUACUUAGAAAGAUAUAUAAUGAACAUAUAAAUAAUAAUAGAAAAUUUCAUUUCAUUUCAUCAUACUUUUACAUAAAUAAAUAAUAUAGUCAAAUAUAAAAUAAAAUUGUGUCACUUGUUUCCAAAGAUAUAGUAUCAUUUUUUAUUAUUUUAUUUUUAUUUAAAAUAAAAUAAAUUUUCAACUACUCAAAUAUUGUCAGUUUUAAAGUUAAAAUGAUUAAUUAUAUAAUAAAAAAGUAAACAAUUUUAUUUUAAAAAAUUUAAUUAUCAAAUAAAAACUAAACAAGUGGUAAAAUCUUAUGCAUAUUUAGAUGAAUAUCCAAUAUACAAAUAUUGUCAAAAGUAUAUAUAUAUAUAAUUUCAAAAACAAAGACCAAAAAUUUUUUUUUUAAGAAAACAUAGUAUGAGUAAACUAAAAAAUUGGACGAGUUUCUGAUUGAACCAGCAGGUUAAAUAAGUUUGAUUGUGUCAACACUUCAUCCGAUCAAACUAGAGAUUGGGCCCGACUUGAGAUCCGGACCACCUGGCCAAUCGGUUCCAUUGUCGUACCGGGCUGGAUUAUGUAUUUAGAAAACAAGUCAAUAUACAAUGUAUGUACUGAUUUGCACUCGAUGUAUUGAACCGUAAUGUCCACAUUCGAUGCAUUUGGUCCCAGCAGCAGGCUCCCUAUAUAACUCGCAGAUUGCACAAAUAUAGCAUUAUAGCCCGUGAAAUUUGGCAAAAUGGAAGAGAGUAGUGUGAUUCUGCUAGAUUUAUGGGUUAGCAUUUACGCGACGAGGGCAAGAAUUGCAUUGGCCGAGAAGGGGAUCAAGUACCAAGCUCAGGAAGAAGACUUCGUUUAUAAGCAGAAAAGUAGCCUGCUUCUAGAGAUGAAUCCGCUUCACAAAACCGUCCCAGUUCUGAUUCACAACGGCAAGCCCAUUUGUGAAUCCCUCAACAUUGUUGAGUACAUUGAUGAAGUGUGGAAUCACAAACCUCCAUUGCUCCCCGCCGAUCCUUACCAAAGAUCCCAAGCCAGAUUCUGGGCUGAUUACAUUGAUAAGAAGGUUACUAUUACAUCCUCUCAACUUUUUGUUCUUUUUAAUUGCUGUUCCCUUGUUCUAAUCAGGUUAUAUCCCAAUCUAUAUUAUGCUGCCUAUAUGGGUUCUCCGGUGGUCUCCUGUUUACAUAUCCCUGCUAAUAAUAAUAAUGUUUGGACGGUUCAAAAAAUCUAGGAAUGAACAAGCACUGAUAAUUGCUCUUAGCUUUUCUCCUAAGGAAUUUCGUAAUAUAAUUUUCGAGAAUCGCCUGAACUCCUGGUAAACUUUAGAACAAAUAUAUUGACUAUAAUUCUGGGGCUUGGAAUGUAGGUAUCUUCAAGGAAUAUAUGGGGGAACAAGGGGGAGGAGCGGGAGAAAGCGAAGACGGAAUUUAUAGAAGCUUUGAAGAUUUUGCAGGGAGUGUUGGGAGACAAGACUUACUUCGGUGGUGAUUCAUUCGGCUUUGUGGAUAUAGCUCUUUUACCCUUUUCUAUCUGGUUUUAUACCUUGGAGAAUGUUGCCAACUUCAGCGUGGAGGCUGAGACUCCACAGCUUGUCGAAUGGGUCAAGAGAUGCAGGGAAAGGGAAAGUGUCUCCAGCUCUCUCCCUGACCCUAAAAAGGUCUAUGACUUCAUGUUGCCAAUGAUGCAGAGAAUGGGUCUAGCAUAGCCGGAUUGGAUGGAUACUUUACGAGGAUUGAGGAAUAAAAGGGAGGUUAAUGCAGCUGAUGCAAUUUCCAUUUCAAAUGCAAUGUAACUUUUUUUCUUUUUUCUUUUUUCUUUUUUGGGGGUUUCUGUUGGAGUAUGUAAUGUUUGCUUAUAUGGUGGCAAUAAAAAUAUGAUUUGGCCUUGGAGAUUGCUUUGAGCCGUGAUUAAUAUUGAACGUGCUUUUUAGUUUAGACUCACCUCAGCAGAGGAUAUCAUUACUCUUUUAUCUUCCUUAUCAUUUGAUAAUGGGUUGGAUGGAUUAGAAAUGCAGUCAUUACCCUAAAAUAGGCUGGAUUUAUGAAUGAAGAAUAGCAGGAAAAGUACUUGGCUCUCUGCCUUCCCCUGUUCUAGAGACUUUUUGGACCAACGAUCCAUCACUCGAAUUUGGGGGCAGGAACGAUAUUAUUUGAUUUUUGAAAAAUUUACUACCUUGAUUGGCCAAUAUAUAUAUAUAUAUAUAUAUAUAUAGCUCAAAUUAUAAGAUGUGCUUCAAAUUUAACAUGCAUGGGACUAACCCAAAAAAAAAAAACCAAGUUUGCAUUAUAUUAAAACUGAUUUACCUCUUGAACAAAAUGAAUGAUUACAUUUUAUUGAAAUGCACAAAAUCAUUUUACUCUGCCCCGCUCUCCACUGCUAAUAAUUUUGAUGCUCUAGCUUGCAAUUGUGGGUCUUCUAGCUUCAUGGGCUUCGUCAGUCUAUAUUGGACUUCAACUUAGAAUUUGGACCCGCUUUGAAGUUAGCUUCGACAUUGGUCGCAAUUUUUUUUUAAGGCGUAUGGGUCCAUUUGGUAGAAACCAGGAUGAUUGUGUUAUUCUUAGUACUAAAUAGGGGCGGUUUGGUAAAUAAAUGUAACCCUAGCAUUCUGCUCCAAAUCUUGGCUAUAAAUAAUUCGGGCUGGAAGUGAAAGACGGGCAGCUGCGAAUUUCUUCAAGUCGUCUUCUACUGUUGUUAGCUACAAUCUUUUCAAGUGGCGCUUCAAUUUCUUGUUCUGCUGAAAUUUUUCUGGACAACGGGAACUACUGUUUUCUUUAAUUUUCUAUUCUUUUUUUUUUUUUGAAUUAUUGGCUGGAAAUCUUUGUGCUUGUACUAUGAACGUGAAUUUUGACCAUUUUCUAAAAAAGAUUUAGAACUGAUUAGACGGGAUCCGAUCUGUGUACAAUAAGCCGAUGCUCUGGAUAAAAUAGAAUGAAGGAAGCAUGGUAGUGUGCACAGAGAAUGAAAGGGUCGUCAUGUCUGCUCUCUCUGAUGCUUAAAUGAUUUGGGGGCCUGGAUUAGACCCACAUCUUCAAUUCUGUGACUUUGUUCAGUUCCUAUCUUAUGUUGAUGUUUUUGAAGAGGAAAAGAAAAUUGAAUCAAGUUCUACACCUGUGCUCAUUUUUUUUGUUUUAAAACUUUUUGGGUUUGUACAUUUUGUAAAAUGAGCAGCUUUUUAUCUGUACAGAGUUCUUUACCAACUACAACUACCUUUGGAGUAGGUAGUUGGGGGAAGCCUUUCAAGGAAGGCUCUCUGGUGGUGGUGCAGAUUAAGGGAUCGAAUCACUUGAUUUGUAUUUCACUAGCACCCAUUUGAUCCACCAUUAGAUAGUCCCUUCGGUUUUCUCUUGGUUCACUCUCUUUCUUUUUAGUAUAGAAUAGGAGUGGAUAUAAAAUAGAAAUUAUCGUGUCUCAAAAAAAAAAAAGAUUAAUGGGGUUUUAAAUGCGUCAUUAAUCAGGUUUUGGGGAAUAUCAGUUGAUAUUGAUCUAAUACGUAGGUUUGUAAGUUAUUUGAGAUAUUUUUACUGUAGUACUUUUUGUGAUGUGAUGUAUAUGAGAGUGAUGUAUAUGAGAUAAAAAGGUAAUUGAGAAUAUAAAAAGAUGUAUUAAAAAUUGUAAUGAUGAUGUAAGCAAAUAUAUUUGAGAAAAUAAGCAGCUGUCCAAACAAACUCUGCACUCUUUCCAAUUUGGAACGUUAGAUUGAUGAUCCAUCAGCUCAACUGAUAAAUCGUAUGAAUGAUAAAUCAUUACCAUAUAAUACUCGGAAUUGAACAAGUUGUUUGCACCGUACCCGGAAUGAUUAAAGCUUGCUGAACAUGCUGUGCGUGCGGGAUGAGGACUGGCGGAUGGUUUGAUCAAAAUUGGACACUUGAAUACUGAGUCAAAAGUCUCAGAAAAAGACUGGGCAGCUCUAAAGCUGUUGGUAUUGCUUGCACGGUGAAGUCGAGCAAAUCUGAGAUUAGAAGUGUUGAUUGAGCCAGUGGGUGGCGGAUGACUACACAACUAGCACAUUGGUAGAUGGCAGAUGGUGACAAUCAGGGACGGAGCCAGAAAUUUAUUUUUGGGGGGCUGAAGUGUAUUAAAAAUUUUUUUUGUGACGAAAUAAAUAUAUUUAAUAAGUAAAAUUUAGAAUCAAUAAUUAUAAAAAUAAUAAAAACAUAUAAUUAUACAUACCCAAAAAUUUGUUAUUGAUUAACACUUGAAGUAUUGGUAGUUGUUGCACUCGAAUAACGAAGAGGAGGCAAUUGCAUUCUGCGAGUCUUCAUCCGUUGAAAACGCUGCAAUAUUUGCUCAUUUUCAAUUGUUGCAAAAAUAUCCUUCUCGAUGUAUACAACCAGACAGUCAUUCAUCCACUCGUCUCCCAUUUUGUUGCGCAAAUCAGUCUUGACAAUAUUCAUUGCAGAAAAUACUCUUUCAACAGAAGCAGUCGCAACUGGUAGAACUAAUGCCAACUGGAUCAAACAAUAAACCAAUGGAAAAACUGUAUUUUUACCAGUUUUAACCAUUUGUUGAGCAAGACUUCCCAAAUCUCCAACUUCUGAAAAUUGAGGAUCGCGUUGCACAUUAUAAAUAUAAUUUCGAAGUUGAGACUCAAGAUAUAAAUAAUCGUUACUUGAGAAGUCUUCAGGAUAUAAAUCAGCAAGACGGAGUAGUUUCUGCACAUUUAAAAAAUUCAAUUACGUCCCAAUUUAUUGAUACAAUUUAAAAAAACUUUAAAUUUUUCGUCAAAUCCCUGAAUCUGAACGAAGCAGUAAAAAAUAAUUUAGUUUAAUGCCUGAAAUGGACAGGACUAGAAACAAGAGGUCUAUAACAAUUUCGGUUUCACGGGACGUGUACUAGAAUAGAAAUACAAAACAAGAAUAUAUUCAUUCCAUGUACUAUACUACUAUCUGUCCAUAUGCAAGCCUGUGGGCAACAUUCAAAAUUUGCGGGUCAGUGGGGUCACCAAAAUCAGAGCAACAGGAUCUGGAAUUCGUGGCUCAAGACAUCAUCACAUUCACCUCUAUGUUAAUUAUUAACUGACUCUACAUUCAAAAUUUACAGAAGAAUUGAUAAUUGUUUUUCUUUGUCUCCUUUUGUUUAUAUGUAGAACGUGAAUGUUUGUUACUAUACAGGGGGUUUUCCGGCGGCUUGGGGGGGCUUAAGCCCCCACCAGCCCCCCCUUAAAUCCGUGCCUGGUGACAAUAAUAGCCCUUUUUUCCUGCCGAAGGAGAAAGUGUGGCAGGAGAGAACUCGUUGAUCAUAUGAUUCCAUGCAAACUUGGAAGAGACCCCUAGUUAGCGUCAUGAGUCGAGAGUUUGGUACUGAGAAUGAUUUAGUACCGUCCGACAAGGACACAAUUAUGUUCCAUGAUAUUUGACGCGUGAAAUGAUAUAUCGGACCCAAAGGACGAAGGAGAAAAGAAAAAAAAAACCCAUAGAACGACCAAUACUUAAAUCCUAGACCUCGUCUCCCUGCAUCAUCAUCUUCUUCUUCCUUUUUAAAUUUUUAUUUUCAUUUUUUUUCGGGGUGAUAGUUGGGCUGGGGGCUGGGUGCUGGACAGCAAAUCUUUAGCCAUUUAGUUGAUGCAGUACAUGAAAGGGUAAAAAGUUCAGAAAGUUAAAACGUAAUGGGCUGUAGGCAUGCUGUUCUUUGACUUCGGUAAUGCUUAUAUCAGAUCCUGAUUGUACGACAGAUUUAUGGCAAAAACGUCUUUGCGAAUACAUAGAUUGUGAACGAAUGUCUACACAUUAAAAGAGUUUCAAAAUCACACACUGACAAUUUUAAUGUAAUUUGCAAUAAACCGAUUUUAUCACACAGUUACAAUCACGUCUAGAGGGAUCUUGGCUUCAAGGCAAUGGUGGAAUGCUUCAAAAUGUGCAAACUGAAUUGUCCACCUUUUUCUGCGGUAUCAAUCUUGGAUUGCCCUGGAGGAGGCAACAGCUCAAAAUUCUGCACC